ACGGGGGGCCUGCCUAUAUGGGUGAUCCUUAUCAAUUCCAAUAUCAUGCCCCUCAGCUGUUUAGUGAUGAGAAUCCAAAUGCUUGUAGUGUUAUGUGACUUUGUGUCUAAUUAAAGGAAAGGAUGGAUCACACGGAUAUUUUGGGCAUUUAGGGGAAGGCAUUAAAUGUAAAUAACAUAGAGGGAAGAAAUCUAUUAUGACGGGGUUUUGAAUGGAUGUAAGAUGGUGGCGAAUUAGAAUAUAUAUAUGAUGAUUGGAGGAGAAUGGCAGGUUGGGACUUGAGCUAGGUGCUCCAUUAGAUUAGUUUGGUUAAGAAUGAGGUUUAGGGUGGUUUGUUUUUGUUAAUCAUGAUUAUGACUCUGUAAUCUUCUACUACAGUCUAUGUAUGAUGCAAGUUAAUGCUACAGUACUAUUCUUUUUUUUUUUUUUUUGCAGAGUAGCUGGAUCUACUAACCUUUUGUUCUUAUUUGCUUAGGCUUUCAAAGAAGAGUUUUAGACCGGUCAUCCUUUUUUCUUUUUCUGUCACGGCCAUUAUUAUUAAGCUUGUUGGUUCCUCCAUUUUUGGCAAAAGGCAGUUGUCAGACUGGAGUGGUUUGUUGAGCUAUGAAGAGUAUUUGUGCGGGUGGUGACUAAAUCUGUAGUUGCCUCCACUGAGCAAAACCGAAUGAUUUGCAGACGAAAAGGAAAGUAGUGUAGUGUAUAGCAAUGGGGAACCUCUUUAAUAACUGGUUCUGGGUUGUAACAUGAGCAAGUUGUAAUUCCUCGAAAACGUCCAACAGCAAGACAUUAGUAUAUGCUUACUCGUGAAAUAGUAGUAUGUCUGCGCAUGAUGAUGCAUUGCGUUGUAUUUGCCUCGGAUCCUUCCGCGUCACUUCCCAGUCAACAAUACCGAUCAUCAAAUCAAAGAUAUAAGAAAUUGGAAAUUUGAGGACUGUGGUUGAUGUUACUCGAUUUACACGCGUAAGCCAUUUAAACCAGUAUCUGAAAUCUCUAGAGAUAGAAAGAGCGUUUGAUGGGACAUUGUUUAAACCAGUAUCGUGACUUCUAGUUCAUUCUGAGCCAAAAGCAAAAAGGGCCCAUCGGAUAAUAAUAUGAUAUGAUCGACGAUACCUGAGAGAAUUGUACACCGUAGUCCAUAUGCACGCUCGAAAUUGAUCAUUCAGGUCAGGAAAAUUUGUUUUGCCUUUGCGUGGAAACAAAAUACUUAUGUAAAGCUAAGUUUGACCAAAAAAAAAAAAAAAAAAAUGUAAAGCUAAGCGGAAGCUAUUAGUAGUAUUAUCAUUAAUGUUUUUGGUGUCGAUUGGUUAAUAUUUGCUUACAUGGUGAUGUCCACAUUAAUUCUAAGGGUGUAACUUAUAACCUAACCCAAUAUUUUGGAUGGAGCAAAAGAAUAGGGGAUUUCCAGCAGAUUUCACGUCAUAAGACAACUUUGCCCUUCCUUACAUUAAUAAUCAUUACUUCGACUAAAUCUUCUAGACCCCAUGACAAACCCUUUUUUUCCUUUUCCUGUUCCCAACAAAAAAUUUUUGGUUCUUGAUUAUCAUCAUGAUCGCUACAACAAUAAAACCGCCAUCUAUCACUGCCAUAGCCAUUAACCUCCGACCCAACUUUAUUUCAAAAAUUCAACAAAAGCUUCAAAAAUUCUUUUUUCCCUAAUAAUAUACAAAUUCCCUAAUUGAAUUGAAAUUGACAAAUUACCCCUUUUAACUCUUUUUUUUUCCAAUCAAAUCACAUACAAAGUUCAACACAUAAAAGGGUGAUCAUUAAAUACAUGGGAGAAAAAAAAAAAAACAAAAGUGUCUUUCUUAUGGAAUCCACUUGUUUGUUCUUUCUUCACGAUCAUAGAUUUCAAUUCUAGAAAAUGAGAAAAGAAAAAGAGGUGAUAUGCAUAAUUGGAAGAUAUUGCUAGUCGCCAGUAGGCGUGAGAAGAAGAAACAAUUCACGGUACUAUUUGGGGUGUUAAUGAUUUAAUUGUUUGGGAGCAAGAAGAAGAAAGAUGAUAAGCAUUGUGGGUAGAGAAUAGAUAAUGAUUGAUAGAAAAUAGACAAGGGAUGAUUAAUUGAUUGGUGGAAUCAUGAGGAACAAUUAAAAUUUCGGAGAGUUUCAUUUGAAGCCUCAAAUUUCGAAAUUCAAUUGCAAAACCUAAGUAAGAACAAAGGUGCCUCGUGCACAGAAAUUUGCUCUAAAUCCGGAUCUAUUUUUUGCUCUGACAAUUAUAUUUUGGAUUCCUGUUUCCUACACCUUGAAAUGAAACAGAAUCUCUAUGUUACAGGCAUGUUAACAAAGUGGAAAUGAUUAACCUAAUUGUUGACCUCCAAAAAUGAUUAGGAUUUGGUUCAACUUCAACAAAAGGGGGAAUGAAUCCGGCAGUUGAACGUGGGACGGAAUCAAGUCCGGAGUUGAUACGAGAAGACGGAGACAAUUUCUGAGGAGACGGCAAAUUGGAAAGCGGCGGAGGAAACAUGCAUGGGUCCCACCUAUUCAUGGUGACACUUAUGUGAUGACGACGUUGACCCUGGCCCCCUUUCUUUAACAAGUACGUACUACUACUACUACUCAAAUACCCAUUCAUUCAUCAGCCAGGACUGGAGAUCUAACUAAAGCAGUUGCACAUUGCACAUGUCAUAGGUUGCAGGCCAAUGCCACACACAAGUAGUGUGUUUGAGCCUCCAUCCAUGCGAGAAGAAUUAUGUCGGUGGAUAAUCUGUAAAGAUUUUAUAUUAAUGGUUAAUUUGUAAGAAUUUAUUUAAAUAAUUUAUAAUUUUGAAAGUAUGCUCAAAUUUGAGAACACGGUCAAACUCUUGAUAGUUUUUUUUUUUUUUUAUCACAGUGGAUAUCUGGGUCCGUGGACUGGUUACCGUACGACCCAACUAAUCCCACUACGGGUUGGGAGAGGCCUGCCCCAAGCGUCACCAGCUACGGUCAAACUCUUGAUAGUAAUCUAAGUUGAACUUGACUAAACUGUAUCCUUAUAUAUAAGAGUGACUUUCAUCAAAGGGCGGUUUGAAUUUCAAUUACAUGAAUAGGAGUUUUUUGAAAAUAUAAAAUAUUGUAUAACUUUUUAAAAACUUUUGAUGCAACUUAAAGACAACAUGUGUUUGAAUGUGUUUAUCGAAAUGUCCUCAUUUUGAUACAUUUAAAGUUUUUAUUUAUGGAGACAUUUGAGUAUUUCUGGAAUAUGAAACUACUUUACAAUAAUUUUUGCAUUGAGUACAAUUUAUAUAAGUUUAUGUGUUGGUGUAAUUACUGAAAUAGUGUCAUAAACGCAUUUAAUUGAAGCGUGGCUUUUGCUGUGCAAUUAACACAAAGACGCAUUGCUAUAAUUAACGGUUGAAUGAUGUUCUUUUGUUUGAAAUAACUUAUGUUUGCUCUUGGAGGAAUUUUAACCAACAUCUAUAAGGAACUUUUGGAAAUGAUAAAAUUAUAAAAGUAUUGAUAAAGUAAGGUGUACAAAUAUAUGCUGCAAUUAAAAUGUAUUAUUAUUAAUUUCAUUAUAUUUAAUGACUAUUUCUUUUUAAAAUAUAUUAUUAUUUGUCAAAUAAAAAAUUCUCUUUAAUUACAUGCACAAAAUACUCGCGCGAUCCGUGGGCACUUUUUCGUUAAUAUUAAAAUAAGAAAAAGAAAAAGAAGGCGUAGGCCAAUGCCAUCAUGGGCAUUAUAUGUACAGGACAUGUAACCAUAUUGUUUCUGAUGACAUGAACUCCUUGGCAUGCAUUUAUUCUCUCAAUGAUUUAGAUAUAAAAGGAAGCUUCCGGAAAGAGGGGUAAAAGUAAAUUUAGUGGAAAGUAGUUGUCUUCUUGUUUGGACAGAUGCGUUAUACAAAGGGUUGGAUACUUGGGUUCAUCUGUUCAUCAAUCUUAGGGUUUGUUUGGAUUGUGGUUUAUUCGUCAAAAUAUAUUUAUUUAUAUCAUCGUUACAAUUUUCAACACGCCUUUUUAUCUUUUCAAUUACAUUUUUAUCUCACAUACAUCACAUCACAAAAAGUGUUACAGUAAAAAUAUCUCUAAUAAUUCACAAUCCAAACAAACCCUUAGUACUUGUGUUCUAAACUAAUAAUAAUGUAUACAGUAAAAGGAAGGUUCCGUCUAUGGUGGAAAGGUGACUCACCUAUGCAUGGUGGGAAGAGCAAAUGAAAUUAGGACAACACAUCACCGUGGGCCUAGGCAAAGCAAAGUUAUUAAAAGUAAUGACCGGAACCGGGUAGAAGAGGUUUCAUACGAGAUGCAUUGUACUUUUAGGAGAAAUAACAUGUACGCCCAUCAACAACUUAUGGGCAUUUGUACUUUUUUUUUCUAAACGAUAUUUUAUGGGCAUUUGUACAGGCAUUUGUAUGCACCUAAAAAUUGUCAUUAAUUCGGGAGUAGCUUCCCAUGCCUAAUUGACAGGAAAUAAGUUGCAAAGAGCAGGAAAAGUAGGAAAAAUUGGUCCGAUGCAAUAAUCCUUGGAAUACGCAAAAAUGAAACUAUGUGUACUCCAAUUUUAAUUUAUAAAUGGUUACUUGACAAAAAAAAUUAUGACAAUUUAAAUUUAAUUGUUAAUUGGCAUAGAUGAGUAAUUAUAUACAUAAAUAAUUAAAAGAAAUUAAUUUUAUAUAAAAUUUAUUUUUAUGUAAAUACAUUUAUUAAAAAUUUAUUUAAAAAAUUUUGGUUUAUAAGGUUAUUGUAAUUUAUUAAUUACAAUAUUUAGGGUAGUUAUGCAUAGUUAUAUUGGCAAAAUGUGAUUAAGUAGUCAAAGCAAAAAUUAGUUUUUUUUUAAGAAUAAAAUUGAAAGUUUAAAAAAUGACAUAAAAAAGUUUACAUUAAUUGGGAUCCCUCUAACUUUAUAUAUUGCAUAGAUAGUGGCUUUUUAACUAAAAUAAAAAUUACAGAAGAAAUAUUAGAAACAUAAUAGUAUUUCAAGAAACUAGAAUCAUGGCAUUAUUGACCUGGUAGAUUUUAAUUUAAAUUUAGAAAUUAGAUAAGCAAUCUUAUACAUAAUAUGAUGAUUUUCAAAUCGAUAUCGAAUUUGUAGAUGAGUAAUCAAAAACACAAUUAAAUAGUACUCCAGGAAAUUAGAAUUGAGAUUGUAGAUAAAAUAAUCAUAAACAUAAAUCACAUAAUGCAAAUGUUUCAAAGAUUGAACCUUUCAGCUAUUGCAAUAACUAGAUGGUUAUCAAUUUAAAUCCUAAUUUCGCAACUAGUUGUAUUGGACAUGAUAGACUAUAAAAUCACAAAUUUGACUAGUAAAAUAGUGUCAAAAUUUGAGAUUUUUUAAUAUAUUAGCAUUAUCUAAUGAUAAGGAUAACCAAAUUAUAGUAAAAAUCAAAGUUCACUCUUAAAAGUAAGUGCUAAAUUUAAAGAUUUUGUUGUGAUAUGGAUUAUCUAAUGAUAGCAAAUCCAUUGAAACAUGUAAAGCAAUGAUAUAUAGAUAAAUAUCAAUUACAAUCCCACGUUCAAAUUAACAUAUUCUAGCAUUUUGAUUCGUAAUAUGCAUCGAUUUAUAUUUCAUUUCAAAAUAAUAACAAAUAUUUAUACAUUGCAGUACAUGAUAUAGUAAAUGAAAAAGAUCCUUUUGACCCAAUGCAACGUCCCCAAUUAUUUUAAAACGGCGUCUUUAUCCUUUGGGAACUCAAAAGACAUUUUUGUUUAGCAUGUACAAGAUUCAUUAUCUCACUUUAAUUUAAUGUUAGGUCCCAUUUGUUCUACAUUAUCAUGAAGUGUGUGUCUUCUAUCUAUUUAUCUAAAUAGUUUAAAAUAUAUCAAGUUCAUAUUGAAUUGACAAUUUUUAAGCACCCAAUGAUUUAUUAUCGCAUAAACUUUCUUAGGUAUUAUAUUAUAACUAGUGCUUAUGCACAUCCAAUGCGUGUGCAAUCAAAAAAUAUAUAAUAUUUAUGAUCAUAUAUUUUAAACAAAAUUUUUAUUAUCAAAACAAAUUUUAAUCUUUUAAAUAUUUUUCAUAAAAUAAUUUUAUGUAAGUAGUUAUAAUAUUUAUAGGUAGUUAUGUUGAAAACAUAUAUUUAAAUAGUUAAAAGUAAAAAUAGUCAUGGAUAGUUAUAGGCAGUUAAAGUAAAAGUAGUUUUUAUGAGAGUAAAAAGAAAGUUCAUUGUUUUAUAGGAAAAAAAGUUAGAUCCCAUUUGUAAUUAAACAAAUGAUCAAAUUCAUAUUCAUUUUUGCACUUAAACAAGCCAAAUCUAACUUGAAACCAUAUUCAUUUUUGUCCAUUCAUAUUUAUUUUUGCCACUAAAAAAGUAAAAUCUGACAUUUUUAUAUAUAAAAACUAUUGCAUAUGAGUCAUGUGGUGAUUUUAGACUAAAAAGUGGUUGAAACGUAGGUUAGCACCAAAUUUUGUGAAAUUGAAUUUGUAAAGAAUAUAAAGUUAAAAUUUUAAAGGUGGAAGAUGAAAAAUUUAUUUAACAAAAUAUGAAAGACAUUUUGAAUGAUUUUUUCUAAAAAUAUUUAUUAUUUAGUAUGCAAGAAUUGAAUAUUUUUCAAUUAUAAAUAUUUCUUAUUAUAAUAAUUAACAAGAAACUAAUUUCAUAACCAUAACCCCAGUUGGUACCAACAUGGCAUGUUAAGCUCGGGAUCGUAAUUCUGAAUACCCGACUAGUAUGUUAAGCGCAUUGUUACUUGUUAGUAAUAACAAAAUUCAGGUUUUGACGCAAAAAUGUCAUUAAUUCACUCGGAUUUCCAGGUUCCAUCCAUCAUCAAGGCCAGGUUUGUUAAGCCAACCCUACAGCCGGUUGCCUUAUUUGAAUUGGGCCCCACUUGACAUGUGAAAGAUGUCCACGCUGCGCUGUCUUGUUAACACUUCUUCUGCCCACGGUGGAGAGUUCACUCUACUUUCCACAGUAGAAGCAACCGUAAAAGGAAUAGGUGCACGCAAACUUAUUUCAUAAACUUAACCAAUUUUGAAGCUUAAAAUCUCCGGAAAGUUUCAAAAUGUUUGGCUUCAUUAGUGUGUGUGAAUAUUUUUUGGCUUAAUCAGUGCAAGUGUCAGUGGGACAAAGCCAAGAAUAUUCUACCUACUCAAUAUAUAUACUCAUAUACAUAUAAUAUAGUAAGUAAUAAACCUCACUCGGAUGGUAGCACAACUUUUUUUAACAGAGAGUCUCAAGACCAUGCAAUGCUCAUAAUACGCACUCCAAGCACACAGCUUGCUGCUCUAAAGAGAAAAGGCAAUUAAAUUUGAUGGAACUUUUGUUAAUCUAACCCUUUGAGACAAGAAACAAAAGAGAGUUACGUUUGAUUAGAUUCCAAAUCCAUGUGAUUGUGGGGCUUUCCUCAUUUGCUGUGAUGAUGAUUACCACUGAGCUCGAUCCCAUGUGGGGUUAUGAUGGAAAGAGCUUGAUAACCAAAGAACCAACGUGACGGUAAAGGCUUAAUUAAAGACUUCGAAAGUCCACCCAUUCCUUUUCUUCUUUCCACAAAGCUGGUUUCAUUUUCUUUUUACUCUAUCUACUACUACUAGUAUAAAAUAAGCCGGACUAAAGACGCUUUUUUGGCCAUCAAGAAAAAUAUGGUACUGUUUAACCUUUCCUUACUCGGGCGAAAAAAAGACACCCAUCCAUCCAUCCUAGCUUAUUAUUUUACUGCUCUUAUGGAUUUGAUAUUACAUGACAAUCGGAUACAAUUAUUCAUUAUUUUUUUAGUCUCUAAAAUAAAAUGGAAAAGAAAAAGAUAAAACUGUAGAAAUAAACUACUGUUGCCAUCAUGUUGUGUACUUGAACCUUCACACGAAGCCGGAAAAUGGGAAAACAAUGGUGGAUAAGCUGAAUAUGCAGCUGUCCCUCCUCCACUCAUGACUCAUGCUCUGUUCUAUUCACAGCGCAAAAGUCCUGGAAUCAAUUGGUACCAGUACCACACCCGCCUUUGUCUCUUCCUCGUCCUUUCUUUUGUUCUUUCCUAUUUCGCUUUUGUGGUGUUUUAGUGUGGGCUUUUGUAAAACAACCUGAUCCUGCAUCAAUUAGUCAAGAGUCAAGACUAGCGAAAGCUAAUCAACAAAAGAUCCUAGCUAAAGCCACUCACUCCAACUCUAAUUGACUUUUUUGAGAUAAAAACCGAUUCUAUUCUUUAAUAGGUUUAAGGGAACUAAACUACCCUUUCAUUUUUCUUGGUUUGAGGGAAAUUUUAACGCGCUAUUUUACUUGAAUGAACUAACUGAGGUCUUUAGUUAAUAUUAUUAUGUGUCUGUAUGAGGUUCCAUGCUUCUUUUGUUUCGUCUGUUUCUUCUCCCAAGAAACUUCAAGAACCGACUGCUAGUCUUCUUCAGCUCCAGCGUCUAUCUUUUCUCGAGUAAUUUGAAUGCCAAACAAUCUAAAAUUGUUUGGAAAGCUAUUAUUCUUCUUUGAAAAAUUUUAAUGUACACGUUUCUCGAUUAUCUUUUUAUCUUACGCACAUCAAAUUAUUACGACGUAUAUUUCUAUCCCAAAAAAAAAAAACACUCUAGAAAAUUGUUUAGGGACUGUAAUAUGUUUCCACAUUAAUAGAAUUUUCUUGACAAAAUUGUGGGCUAUGAACUUCGCCGAAGGCAUCAUUGCUGACUGAUCAUGAAGCAUCAUGAUUCUCACAAAACCUCAGCUUUACCCUGAAAAGGAGUUUCUACGUGAAAUUUUCAGGAAAGGCAUCAUUGUACUUGAUGGUUGGAGUUUCUACGUGAAAUUUUCAGGAAAAGCAUAACCAGUAAAAGGGGUCCUUGCGGCCAUUUUUUUUCCAAUCCCAUGUUCCACCUUUCUUCUAGUUACAUCACUAACCAAGAAAUAGAAUGCCAAGGGAAUCAUCAAAUUGGACUUUUGGUAAGAUUUGGAAUGAGUUUAAAGUGUGCCACUUUUCCUGACGUGGAAAAAAGCAAACAAAUUAUUAGGUUUGUGGCGCUUGCACGGGCGGAUAGCCUAUCAAACUUUUAUUAUGUUUUCAUCCUCAAAUUUGAUGAUGAUUAAUUUGUUUUUUCUUCUUUUGGAAGGAAACAGUGGCAAUAAUGGUGGGGGAAGGUUGAUGAUUAGCUUUAAUACUUUCUAGAUUUUCAGUGAACAACGAUUUGGGAAUGGUAGAAUAUUGCAGCGUGAGGGUUGUUUAUGGACUCGAUCGUCUUAGAUUAGAUGCAUAGUCGAAAUACACAUCACACAGCCUGAAAUGCACCUUUCUUGUCUCUCUUUAGUUGGAUUCUUGUAGCUUCGUUGCUUGGUAGUUGGUUCUAUGACUCACCCACCGUCUUAAGAUAUUUGUAGGGCUUACUUAGCUCCUGUACCCCCGGAGGGGUUGGUUGGUUGGUUGGGGACGCACUGCAAACAAAUAUGUUUCGAAAUUAAAAAAUUAGCUCUUAAAAAGUUAACUAAUGAUCCAUUAAUUAAUGAUUGCUACAGAUUAAGUAAUCCAUUAAUUCCAGAGAUUAGGAUCUGCUCUUACGGAAUUUCUAAACAAUAGGAAUCAAAGUCACUAGGUUUGUAUAUGUGAAUGUUAAAUGAAGAUCUGACUACAAAGACAAACAAAGUGUAAUUUAUUUGAUAAGAUUUUUUUACUUGUAAUUGAGAUACGACGAGUUCAAGUAAGUAAAAAAAAAAAAUACGUGAAGAUUCACUACUGUUAAUUUUCUUUCUUUCUUUUUUAAAAGAAGAAGAAGGAAAAAAUACAAACAGUUUUGUGCGAGGACCACCUUUUAUGUAGAAUCAUGUCUAGUUACAGUCAUGUCAUCCCAAUCUUAGAAACGGGCAGCAAAUAGCCUAGUAGGUUUCCACCUCUGUUUUAUUUCCGACUCAAAUAUGGACUUAACCGGAGGACCACCCUUGUGGCAAAAGACGGCAAAGGUCAUGUCUGUCAUCUGCAGAAUUUUGUGCCUCACAUUGGCGGUCCAUCAUCUGCAUCUUAAUUGUCUUUGGGUUUCCCAAUUCUGUCGCCGGAAAUAUUCCCUGCCAGGCAUUUAUAGACCAUGGCCCUCGUUUCAUUUAUAUCGAACCUGUUGCUGAGUGUUCAUGAUUACGAUAGGCAAUGCAAUUUGGUUGAAGCUCUCUACUCACAGUUUCAUUUAUAUCGAACCUGUUGCUGAGUUUCAUUGAAGCUCUCUACUCACAGUUUGCUUAACCGUACCCAUCCCCAAACCACCCUAGUGAAAAAUGAAAAAUGAUAAGACAAUAAGAUGCUAGCCUCCCGGCAAAAGAGUGUAAACUCUACAAUCUGCCUGGAAUAGAUAUUAAGAGGACAAAAUCCACUAUCAACGGAUUCACAUAGAUGGCCAACAACUUCUUGAUAUUAUAACGUACAGAUUUCGUUGAAAGUGCUUCCUCUCUCAUUGUUAAGUUCAGAAUUAAAUUCAAUUCUGAUCUACAGAUGUCACCUGUGACAGUCACAACAAGUAAAGAGGACAAUCUCCCUCUGUCAUGUCACAAGUGCUUGAGCAUGUAUACAAACUAACUAUCAGGGAAGUGAAGGGUUGGAAGUUGGGGCUCUAUCGUCAGUGAUAACUUGAACGAGAAUUCUGAUUGUCAUCGUCGUCGUCGAGAAUAAGUUUGACUCCGUUGUUCUUGAGGGCAUUUACAACAGACCAGACUUUCGUCCGAUUCUUGAAACCUUUUUUCUCAAUUUCCUUGUUCACAUUGACAUGGAUUCCAUUUGCCUGCCUUGUUCAAGGCCUUCUACUCUAAGUCUCAUUGCCAAUACUUCUCCAACAGUUGAUGCUGCCUUAGCAUUGCAAGAUCGACCGCAUUCAAGCGUAUUUUUGAGCGCAUGUUCAACUGUUGAUGCUGAUGCGACUAUGCGUCCACUGUUUCGGUCCACUACAUUUGCAGUGACGUACUUCAGCGAAAAGAACAAUCUUAAGACAUACCUCUUCAUAACAGUCAUCACGUCAAGAAAAGCGACCUAUUCAGAAGACGUUCAUUAGACAUUACACAUUAUAGGCUUCUAGCAGAGUGGACAAACAAGAAAAAUAGCAAGGAAAAGAUCCACUAUCUUUAUCUUUGAUGUAUGCAAUUUUACAAAAUGGCAUGCCCAGAAGCAGCCUAUUGUGAAGCAUCAGAGAAAAAUGGAACACUUCUCAGGUGCCGUUUAUUGAAAUCUUUAGUUCUUAAAAACAAGAGUUAUGGCUCAUGUGAAAAGAUAACUAACUUUGUUGUUCAGAAAUGAGCAACUGAUUAAGUGCUCUUCAGUGCUUACAACAAACAAAGGAAUUCUAACAUUUACACUUACAAGAUGUAAUUACAACAAAUAUUUUUGUUUCAAGAAAAAUGUCAUGAAGAGUGGGCCUAGAGAAAUAAAGGUAGACAUCACAGGUUCUGACAGCCAACUGCAAAUCCAACAGAACUCUGCACUAUUUAAGUACUUAAGGAGUCAUUGUGGCAUUUUACUCUAGCUUCUUUAGCUCCAAUCUCUAAUAAGGCCAUGGUAUAAUGUGCUCUAACUUGGAUGGAGGAGCUACAAGCAAAAACUAAUUCAGGACAAACUUUUAAAGAAAAUGUUGAAAUAAAAGAUCAAAUCUGGUACCAUGUUUGAGAAGCAAAAGAAAUUAACAGAGCCCUAUAAUCUUCACAUGAAUUUACAAACAUCUUAUUAAGUAGCAAGUAACCAAAAUAAAUUUGAUGCACUGAAACAAGAUCAAACAUUAAUGACUUCUCAAAUAUGGUACAAUAAUUAUAAUUAUUAAGGCCAACAUACAACGUGUUUAACUAUAGUAGAUUGACUUGAUUACACAAGUUGAUUCCUAAUUUUUAUCUCACACCACGAGAUCCAAUGAUGACAUGACUAUGCAGUUACUAUUGUAUUGGCCCAAAACCUUGCUAAUUUUGAUCUUUAUGGUGCUACCUGUAUCAAUUAGAUCCAGAGUCAUGCUAUGUCAAGUUCAAAAUACAAUACUGCCUGUAAACAAUCGCCCCAGCCAUGCUUCUAAGGAAACAACUAAUAUCUAAGCAACGCAAUUAUCCAGUAACAUUUGAUCAAACAUCUCAAGUGCACCGCCUGUUUUGUGAUCCUUAGACAAAACCAUCACCUUCCCAUAACUGAAAUUUUGCAUCUGCCAGAAACAGAUCGAAAAGGAAGUACAUCUUAUAUACGAUUAAAGACCAUCAUCUAUGUGCUAUCAUUUGAAAAGUAAAAGAGAUGAUAUUCUUCUUGGUGCAAGUCAUGCAGCAGAAAUUAACGUAGCAGGUCAACUACUGGAUGGAAAGUGAUGGAUCUUUAAAGGAAAAUGAAGAAAAAACUUAAGAAAUUAUAUGGGAAAAGUAGUGCCCCAAAAAUGGAAAGAAAUGAACAUCCUGCCUGUGUUUGAGAAACUUAAAAAACUAAUAAGGACCUCCAAGGUUGACAAAAGGACAGAUCUGUUUUGGCUGUGUACGUUUGGGGAAUGUAUUUGUGAUUUUGCUGCCAGAGAUCAUGAUGCAUAAGAAAGAUUAACAUUGUAACUGAGACAGGUGAAGUACUCUUCUCUAAAAUUCAUGUCCGUAGCUUAAGCACUUCUUUUCAUAAACAAAUUUAACAGAAGAAUGAAUCCAAAAAUCAAGCUAUCUUACGAGUUCAAAUGUGAAUUAACAUCAGCAAUUUUUUUAAAUUAAUGCAACAGCCUUUCCAACAAUGCUACCUUAUGUUAAACUAUCAAUUUCCAAGUCCCAUUCCCUGCACAAGAGAAGGUAGAGGGGGAGAGAGAGAGAGGAGUUUUUCUUUUUUUUGGGGGAGGCUUUAUGCUUUCAAUAGCAAGACCCCCUAUACAACAUGUUUUGUUUUAAUAAGAAGAAUCUGCAACUUCCUGUAAUUCUGGUAGAGAAGGAUUAUGCUUUUCGUGAAAAUCACACACACACACAAAAGCAAAGGGAAAUAGCAGCAAAGGCUGAACUCAUUUCUGAAAAGACUUGGGUCAUGGCAGAUACCACUAAAAAGAAACCAUAUACAGCUUCCUAGCAACCCUGUAUAUCCAAACUCGACUAACUAAAUUAUCAGGACACUGGCCUUCUUUUAAACCAGAGCCAUGUUGUACAGAAGUACGACACCACCAUAUCGAUUCUUAUGUUCAAGCACAAGCACUGCAGAUUAACCAUUAGUGCUGUCAAAGGUUACGCAUUAGUCAUCAACCCUCCACCUAUCAAAUCCUACAGUCCUUCUUUGAGGUUGCUAAUCCAGAACUAUUGCGGCUAACCAUACAAGAAGGAAGAGAAAUGAAAUCAGACAAAAUCCAAUUAAAUUUCUGACAGCACGAAUUACUACAGCAACGAAACUAAAUAGAUUUAAUCAGCUCCAUGACACAUUCAAAAUCAACACUUGAAUGCAAUAAAAUUAACAGUCACGGCAAAUCAACAAUAAUAACAAUAAUCAAUUAUCAAGUAAGAGUCAGAGAAAUUGAUACAUUAAGAAAUGCAAUAAUAUACUGUUCCCAUACCUUAGUUUAUGCAAUUAUGGAGUCUUCUUAUUUCCCAUCAAACCAUCCAAGAAUCACCCUUAAGAGGAAACUUUAGAUGGGUUCCCUACAAAUUUUGAGUGGAAAAUUUUAAUAUAUUAACUAAUAGGACAACUUGAAUUUGGGAUAGCAGAUAAGUGGGGCAAAGUUAAAAAAACACAAUAAUACUAAUCAAUAGCUAAAUGAGCAGGGUCACUUACUGAAAGGUAGUCACCGCCGGCUUCCUGACGUCUGCCGAAGGUUCAAGAAAAAAAAGUAUGAUUCUAAGAAGAGCAACGGAGUUCUGGUACGAGGAUGGGAUAGCUUUCAGGUAUUUUCCUGUGUUACGUGAAGUCGCGAUUUUGAAUUAAAAAAAAAAAUAAACUGGGUCAUUUUUGUCAGAAGAGUAUAUGCAACCCGAAUUUUUUUAAAAUGACCGGGUUAAUUUUCGCUACCCAUUGGAACCGAAUUUGCAACUUUGAUCAUGGUUUCAUUGACAGUGAACUCGUUGUCCUUGGUAUUACCUCUAAUUUCUACGUAACCAAAUGUCGAAUUAGUGAUUUUUUUAAUGAGUUAAUAUUUUUAUAGUCCAAUGUUUUUGCUGAUUUUUAUUUUAUAUUUUUAGUAUUAAAAUUAACAAUAAAUUAAAAAGAAAUUGUCCAAAAUCACUACUAAAUUAUGAUAAUUUUACUAUUUAAAAAAUUCAUAAACUUUGAAUGAAUUAUUUUGACAUUUUCUUUUUUAUGUUAUAAAUCUAAAUCUAAAAUAAAAUACUAUCAAAAGUAUCCUAUUAUAGUGUUAAAAUUAUCAUUAUAUUUGUUUAUCAAAUAGUAGGUAUAGACAUGAAAAAUUUGACACAUUUUCCUUAUAAUUAUACUAGAUAAUCUUAUAAUUGUAUAGGAAAAUAAAUAAAUUAGAACUCAUUACAUAAGGGCAUUUUUUGGCUAUUCAUUUAAAAAAUUGACCAAGCAAUAUUAUUUUAAGAUUUUAUUAUUAAAACUAUCAAAUCAAGAGAAGUAGCUAUAAUUUUUCAAAUCUUAGGGGAGGUUUUUGAAAUUAUCCCCAAAUUAAAUGGGUAUUCAUUUGAUCACUAUGGAUGUUGAAUUUAAGAUCAGAUUUCUCUAGCUAGUAUGCAUUUGAAGUACCGGUUAAUGCAUCUAAAAUUUAUCUAAUAUAUAUACAUACUAAUAAUUAUUAUUCCUCGACCUAUUGUAUUUGUAUACUUUUCCUAUUAAAUAUUACUUGUCAUCCUUAUAUUUAUUUAUUUUUUCUAUUUAAUUAUAUAUUUUCAAAAUAUGACACUUGAAAUAUAUUUUAAUGAGUUAUGGAUAUCAAUUAGAUAGAACUAAUAUAUAAUUGUCGAAAUAAUGAAAUUUGUUAUAUUCUCACAUCUCAAUUUAUCACUUUUUUCAAUUGCUCUAGUAAGAAAUGGACAAAAUCAGCACCAUGUCAGUUUACUCUUGGGAAGCUUUUUUGACAUGGGAAUAGUUUUCAUAAUUCUAAAAUUCAAAAAAAUUUUCAAAAUUUUGGAUAUCGAUUGAGAUUGCAAGUAAGUGAGAAAUAUAUGAUAACACAUAUCACCAUCCGUUAAAAUUCAUCACUCAAUCCAAUUUUUUUUUAAUGCCUUUUGAUUUGUCCACUUUCGUUCAUUAGUUCACAAAGGCACGCACUGCGCCAAAAAAUUCGACGUGCAUUGAGAACAGGAAAACACCAAGUGUGUUUGGAUUGUAAGUUAUUUGAAAUAUUUUUACUGUAGCACUUUUUGUGAUGUGAUGUAUGUGAGAUAAAAAGGUAAUUGGGAAGAUGAAAAGGUGCAUUGGAAAUUGUAAUGGUGAUGUCAGCAAAUAUAUUUGGCCAAAUAAUUGGCUGUCCAAACACACUAACCAUUAAAUUCUAAAAGAAGUCUCAUAGUGUAAAUAAUUAAACCAUUGAGCCAAAGUUGAGUCGCCACCAAAAAGAGAUUAAAUCUCUCUUUGAGCUGUAAGUCAGGGGUUCGAACUCCACCUACAGUGAAAAAAAUUUAAAAAGGGUUCCAGAAUACUCAUUUACUCUAAUCAGAUUUGUAUACCCCAUUACAUAAUCUCUUUAGAUUUCCCCAUAUCUGCCCAGAAUGGGAAUGGGCUAGGGUUACGAACUUAUAAUCGGAUGAUCAAAUUAAUUACGUGAUUAUAAGUUCAUUCCAUAUUGGAUAGACCUAGGAUGGAGGCAGGGCAUUUCCCAUUUUUGUAGGACCUUCUGUACUAGAAACAAUAAUGGUAUCUCCAAUUAGAACCGAUCUAGGAUGUAAAACAUAUAAACACAUUAUUAAAAUAGAAUAGAUUUAUUGUCUCUUUAGACUUCCCUUUUCUUGUAAAAUAGAAUAGAUUAAGUUAUAGAAAUGUUAUCAUUGGAUAAAAAAAAACUAGAUUAAAAUUUAAAAGAUUUUUUUAUAUUAAGAAAUUCAAAAGACUUUUAAGCAACAAUAUUUCAAAGAUACAAAAUGAUACAACUUUAACUUGAGGAAGUCGAAGGGUGUAAAUUAAUCAAGCUACUCGGACUCGUGAAUAGCUCGAUCAAAGGAUUGCUUUAAAUUUAACAUUGAUCGAAUUUGAAUUAAGUUCGAACUACUUAAUAAGGUUAUAAAAUUGUUCAAGUAGAAAAAUCAAAACUCAGAAUACUCGUUGAGUCUUAUCGAAUAGUGUAUUUAUAGUAUAAUUUUUAAAUAUUUAUUAUAAAAUUAUGAAAUUUAUUAAAAAAUCAAGAUUGCAAAAUUGAUUGAAUUUGAUUUGGUCUCAAACUCGUGUUUAGCUUUGAAAAAUUCGACAAUCCCGAUCUCGAGCUUUAACAUUUUGACUCAAAUAGUACGCUGUUCGAACUUAACCGGCUUAGAUGGCAGCCCCGCCAUUGAACUUUUGUUUUGACAAUUACUAGUAGACUAGAACUAUGCUAACGAAAGUUCAUAAACAAAAACAAUGGGAAAAGAAAUAUUAUUGGAUUCCAACUUGGAUACGCAAACUCCUUAGUCCAAACACCAAAGUCUCCAGUUAUGUGGUGGCAAGAAUCACCGUUAAAUUUCCCUUGUACCCUCCAUUAUCCGCCACGUGUCCCCUUCACAACCCGUAUAAAUAUUCGCAGAAUCCCCCCUCAAACCCUCAUUCUCGGACCGCAUCGGAGCACGCCCCUCAUCCUCUCUGUUCCGAUUCAAGGAAAUAAUUACUCCUACCAAAUUGAGAAGAGAAAAAGAAAAAGAAAUACGCACACACGCUGUUCCAUUGCAAAAACGAUACUUGAAACCCUAGAUCUCAGCUGUCAAGGUACUUGUAAUUUUUCGCAAUUUAUUGUGAUUUUUAGUUUGUUUAAUUUUUUUUGAUAAUAAUUGUGAUUUUCUCAUUUUGUUAUUAUUUUCGUUGGAUUAUUCUAGAUGGUUUCGGACGCGAGCAAGAAAAGAGACGCGCAGAAGAAGGCGGCGGCGGCAGCUAAGAGAGGAGGUAAGUCAGCUGCAGCAUCGUCUAAAGCUGCCAAGGAAGUUGCCGCGGCGGCGGCGGCAGCCACCACAGCGGCGGAGAAUGGAAGCGCUGAUAGUUUGGCAAAUGGAGUUGGGAUGCUCCAGAUAUCGGAUCGGACUUGUACCGGCGUGCUUUGUUCUCAUCCGCUGUCCAGAGAUAUUCGGGUUAGUUCUUUUAAAGAUCCAUUUUUUAAUCAUGCCAUUAUAUGUGCCAUUUCAGUUACAAUAAAUAGUAUUUUACCCCUUGAUUUUUCACUAUAUUUGUUAUCUGUUGCAGUUACUAACAUAAUGCAUAGAAGGAAUAUUGUCUUUUUUUUCAAAUUUUCUUUUGAUUAUGUUCUAUCUAUGGUUAUAAAAAAGAAACGGUUUGUUUUUGGGGGAUUAUGUUGGUUAGAAAAAGGUAGUAUCUUGUCUUUUAACGCAAUUCCUAAUGGGUUUGUAUCUUGUUUGCUUUCUGCUUUUUACAAAUUCUUUUUGGACUGAAAUUAGUUAGGAGACAACCCUUUUCAUGUUGUGUGUGUAUAUUGGACUGCGUUCUUAGUAGUAGUAAAACAUGAUGCUGAGUAAGAAAAUAAACUGCCCAAGAGUACGUUCUGAUUAGACUUAGGAAUGUAUUGUUUCUAUAAGCUAGAUGUUUACACACACUGUACGUGAUGAAGAUUUGGAAUGACUCGUUGAUCAUACCUUCUGAAAUUAUGUUGAUCUUUUUUAUUGUUAAUCUUGUUUUAUUGUUACUAAGAAACCAUUGAAAGUGUAACUGGACCCUUGCUGAUAAGUGACAAUUUCAUUUGCAAUUUUGGUCUGUUUUGGUUGCAAUGAUAUACAAAAAGUUUAGGGUUACUAACAAAUAUUAAUCUUGUUUUAUUGUUACUAAGAACUACCAUUGAAAGUGUAACUGGACAAAUGUUACUAAGAAACUGUUGCAAUGUUAUUGUUACUAACAAAUAUUAAUCUUGUUUUAUUGUUACUAAGAAACCAUUGAAAGUGUAACUGGACCCUUGCUGAUAAGUGACAAUUUCAUUUGCAAUUUUGGUCUGUUUUGGUUGCAAUGAUAUACAAAAAGUGUAGCAUUUUUUUUUAAAGGUGUGUAAGAUUAUCUUCAUUUUACUUGGCAAAUUCCAUGUCAUGUCAUGCAUUGGCUGGUCUGUUUGUAAUCUGAGUCAACAUCUGCCUUGUGUAACUGUCUCCCACGUAUUGUAUGAUGACAAGAAAAAAGAAGAGUUGAUUACUUAAUAACAGAGAACAUUUAUUAGAAUUUUCUCAUUUAAAUUUUGUUCAAGAUUCUGAAUUUCACUUAUCUAAAUGUAGAAGUAUGCAAUUCUUGUGGUGUCAUCUGAAAAGUUUGCUCAAAAGACAUUGGUAGUAGAAAUUUUCGUUGGUUUCUUAUAUUAGGACUGUCAUGAUUAAACUUAAAUUCUCCAAUUUACCUGAUUUCAAAAGGGCAACAUCUGCUACGCAUAAUCGUGUAAUUUAGCCUUUUAAAAUUGCCAGGUUUGUGAUCUGAAUACCUUGACCAGAGUGUGGUGGUAAUAUUAGCACUUUCUGGAAUCAGUUAAGUAGACAAAAACAGUGGAGAUGAAAGAUAUGUGUUUCAUAAAAUAUACAUAUGUAACCUAUCAUUUGAUGUAUAAUAUGUCCAGUUUUAGUGUAUUCUGUAAUUUGUUAUGUAAUAUGUCAGCAUUAUUGGGAUAAUCUGCUUCUAGUUUGUUUCCUUAAUCAUUUUUUUUCAUCUGAGAAAUCUGUUGUCUGAUUUAUGACCCUUGGUGAACUGCAUGUAUCAUGUUGAUUGAGCAGUCAAUCUUUCAAAGCUGUGUGUAUGGCACGUGGAUAUUCUCCAUUAUAGUUAUUAAGCUGCUGUAAUGUUGACUAAGAACGGUUUUCCUUGGUUUUUGCAGAUUGAAUCCUUGUCACUUACAUUCCAUGGACAUGACCUCAUAGUUGACUCUGAACUGGAACUAAAUUAUGGCAGGUCUGUGGCUCUAGAUUGAUGCAAAAUGUUGUUAACCACUAUUUUAGUUCCCAUUCUAAAAUCUUGUAUUUUCAGACGUUAUGGUUUGCUAGGAUUGAAUGGCUGUGGGAAAUCUACUCUUCUUGCUGCGAUAGGGUGUCGUGAACUGCCAAUUCCAGAUCAUAUGGAUAUUUACCACCUCACCAGAGAGAUUGAAGCUUCAGACAUAUCUUCACUUGAGGCUGUCAUAAACUGUGAUGAGGAGAGAUUGAAGUUGGAAAAAGAAGCUGAAGCCUUGGCUGGACAGGACGAUGGUGGUGGUGAACAACUUGAGCGUGUUUAUGAACGUUUGGAAGCCAUGGAUGCGGCUACUGCUGAAAAGCGAGCUGCUGAAAUCUUGUUUGGACUUGGUUUCACCAAGAAGAUGCAGGAAAUGAAAACCCGAGACUUUUCUGGUGGCUGGAGAAUGAGGAUCGCUCUAGCAAGGGCUCUGUUCAUGAAUCCAACCAUACUCUUGCUGGAUGAACCCACAAAUCAUCUCGGUAGGUUCAUUAUCUGGUUAUUGUAAAAUAGUUGUUAAUAGUGCUUGCCAUUGCUAUCUACUGUCAUGUAUGUGGGAGUGGGAUGUUUUAUUUGAGGAAAAAGGGGGGCAAUAAUCUCCAUAUUAAUUUAUUGAUGCUGAAACCAUAUUUGGUUUUGACUGCCUGUUGUUGGUCUUCUUGUUUUGGCUCAUCUUUACAUGAGUUUCAGGCAUGGUAUUUAUUUUAUCUUUGUAAUCAUUUCUAUCUGCAACAAGACUUUCCUUUUCAUGAAGUUGAGCAGAAAAGCUGACAGAACACUGUUAAGAAUGCAUACUGGCACAAGAAUGCAACCCUUGCUUACUGCUUUUCCACUGUCAUCUGCUGAAAAAGAUAGCAUAAAUAACCCUGUAGGCUUUCUGUAUUUCUAACGUUGUUUCUUUCAUCUGUGAAUAUGGCAAUUGCAGAUUUAGAGGCUUGUGUUUGGUUAGAGGAAACUCUCAAGAAGUUUGACCGCAUAUUAGUUGUGGUCUCUCACUCCCAGGAUUUUCUGAAUGGUGUCUGCACCAACAUCAUCCAUAUGCAAGGUAAGAAGUUGAAGCCUUACACUGGUAAUUAUGAUCAGUAUGUUCAGACUCGGGCUGAACUUGAGGAGAAUCAGAUGAAACAAUAUAAGUGGGAGCAGGAGCAGAUAGCUUCAAUGAAAGAGUACAUAGCUCGCUUUGGACAUGGGUCAGCCAAACUAGCUCGUCAGGCACAGAGUAAAGAGAAAACUCUGGCCAAGAUGGAGCGAGGUGGCCUGACAGAGAAGGUGGCGAGGGACAAGGUUUUGGUUUUCCGCUUUACUGAUGUUGGGAAGCUUCCACCUCCUGUCCUACAGUUUGUUGAAGUUUCUUUUGGCUAUACACCUGAUAACCUCAUCUACAAGAAUCUUGAUUUUGGGGUUGACCUUGACUCAAGGGUUGCUCUGGUUGGACCCAAUGGGGCUGGUAAAAGCACAUUGCUUAAGCUGAUGACAGGUGAUUUGGUUCCCCUUGAUGGCAUGGUCCGCCGUCACAACCACUUGAGGAUUGCACAAUUCCACCAGCACUUGGCUGAGAAACUUGAUCUGGAGAUGUCAGCUCUUCAGUUUAUGAUAAAAGAGUACCCUGGCAAUGAGGAAGAGAGGAUGAGGGCAGCAAUCGGUAAGUUUGGGCUUUCCGGUAAAGCUCAAGUUAUGCCCAUGAAGAAUUUAUCAGAUGGCCAAAGGAGCAGGGUGAUUUUUGCCUGGUUAGCUUGGAGGCAACCCCACAUGCUGUUGUUGGAUGAGCCCACUAACCAUUUAGAUAUCGAGACAAUUGACUCCUUGGCUGAGGCACUGAAUGAGUGGGACGGUGGCCUUGUACUUGUUAGUCAUGAUUUUAGGCUUAUAAAUCAGGUUGCUCAGGAGAUAUGGGUGUGUGCAGAUCAGACUGUGACUAGAUGGCAGGAUGACAUUAUGAGCUUCAAGGAGCAUUUGAGGCAAAAGGCUGGUUUAUCUGACUAAAACAGAUCUUUAAGAGUUGAUCGGUUCUGUAUUCACAAAAUCCUGCUGCUCAGAUGUGAGUAUGACGAAAGAUGGUGGAAGAGCUUGAUCGCUUAAUGUUUUACCAUUUGAAGGACAUUUCUAGUGAUUGAUAACUGGAUGAGUCCAUUAGUACUUAACACGAUAGUAUUAUUUUUGAAGUAUCAUAUGUAUUGCUCUCUGUUGUACUUGGUCUAUGGUUGGGAGAGGAUGUAGCGUCGAUUUUGGUUCAUCUUGUUUUACUCUAUAUGCAUCUAUUUUAGAUAAUAUGUCACUAUCUCGUUCUUUGGAUUUGUAAUUUCACUCGAGCUAAUGUUUAGAAUACUAAGCAAAAUAAUGUUUAGAAUACCAAGCAAAAUGGUGGUUUUUCUUUCGUACUGAAAUUGUAAAUCAGCGAUGCAGAUGGAAGUUAUAGAUGAAGCCCCGUGCGAAUCGUAAUGGGUAAAAAAUGACAUCAUCACAGCUCAAAUUUUAUGUCUAUUGUAAACUUAAUUAAAGGGACAAAUCACCCUUUUCAAGCUUAGCUGGCAUUUUGGCUUGAGAAUGGUAAGUUCUGAGCAUUCGAUAAGAGUUGUGGAAAUAGAAUUUGGGCUCCCAUUGGCAGCAGCCGGUAGAAUUUGGAGCACUGGAGCACUUAUCUGGCCUACAAGAACGUACUUUCUCAACAAAAAAAAAAAGAAAAAAAGAAAGACCUGCUUUAAGCGAAUAGUCAACUUCUAAAGCAGCAGAGACGAUAAAUUUCUGUGAAGUCUUGUAAAAUUGACGUACCAUGGUAUUUGCAGUUCGAAAUUCCAUGUUGUUUGUAACACUUUGAUAAGAUUACCGAAAGUAGGCAAACAGGAACAAUCUAAACAAACCCUUUCUGGGAUUACAUCUGUGGAAUGAGAAACAAAUUUUAACGAGGUUUUUUGGUUAAGAUUUGAUGUGUCUAUUGCUUUCAGCCAAUAGCCAAAAUUUCUGAGUUGUUCCAUUUUCAGUUUUAUACCGGAGAAUUGAUGAAUGACUAAUUAGAUGUGAUUUCUCCCGAGCAUGAUCUUUGUCAUCCUCCUCUAAUGGUUCGAAUUUUCUCCUCUCCAUUUUUCAGUUGCAACACAUAUACAUAAAACAAGAAAACGCAAACAUUAACAUUAACGAUAAAAGAACCAAGAACUUGGCAAAUUACAAAUUCUGAUCAAACUUCUUUCAAGCAAAAGAUAUUUUAUUGUUUCUCCUAAACAAGAUUUUUUCUUAUGCAGUUGUCACGUCAAUCUAGCAACAUAUCAAUUCCAGCUGACAUUUCCACUUCUAAGGUUUGGUCUAACCAUGACCUUAGUUUGAUUCAUGAGGUACACAUAUGACGUUACAUUAAAUAAUUUCAAAGUGCAAAUUUCUCUUGUAUAAUGAUUGAGUAAACUUAAUGACAUGCACCACCUAACACAAAUCGAACCUUCCUUGCUUCUCCAAACUAACUCAGAGAUUAUUUGUCCUAUACUGACUGAUAUGAUGUUUUCCAGUACAGCAUGGGUACACCCAACGGGGCCCUCUCACUCCAGGGAUGGAAAGGACUAUCUGUGCAGGUUCCUUCUGUUUCGUAUCUAGAAGGAAGGAAGACGCAGAAAUAAGAAAGGGACCAAUUGAAGUCUUGGGAUGGAGAAGGGCAGUGAAGAGUCGAUUCAGCACGAAAGCAAGAAGAAACUCCGGUCAGUUUUAUCACUGUUCCCUUUUUCUUGAAACAUAAAAAUAUAAGCAUGUCAAUUCAGUCGACAGUGGCUGAUGAGCUGCCAAUGUUGUGCCAGUGCAACCCUCCCUCGUUUCAGUCCCUGCCCCUCCUCCCUGUCUCUAAUCUACCUGACUGGACGCUCUGCGUCACAUUGAAUAUGAUGCAUGUACAGUAAUGCAUUAAUGCAAAAUUUUUAUAUAAUUGGAGUGUUAAGAAUUACAGUUUGUAAUACCUGAUUAUUGCGUUCAAUUACCACUUGACUAUGGAGUAAUUUUUACUCAAUUUAGACUUUUAGUUACCUGGGAAGUUAUCCUUAAAAUGCUAAUUACUAUGUUUAUUUAAUUAACCUCUCAGGUGUUUUUUUUUAAACAUAAACUGACAGAAAUGGUUCAAAGUAAAAUUGGUUUUAAUUAGUUGCUUUUUACCCUUUAGUUAAGUUUUAAGUACCCUAUUACAAAUUAUUGGGGUUGAUCCAAUGACCAGUGAAUGCUAGAGUUUUUAGUACCACCAGGUUCAGGAUUCGUGGAGAAGUUUCACUUUUUGAGGAUUGGUUGGGACUUACAUAUGAGUGUCAGUGUAUUUUAAUAUAAUCUUAAUUUUUUCUUGAUCAAAUCUUUACAAAGAGUUAUAAUAAUUUAUUUGAGAGUUAUGGGAAUUAUAAUAUUGGGAGUUACAAUACAUUUUGAAUGGAGUUAUUAAACAAUUCUUUGAAUAGGAAUUGCAAGUGAAUUACUUGGUCAAAUAAAGAGUUAUUGAGUCAUUAUAAGCCAUUUAAAUAUGAAUCAUUUUUUAGGUUACAAAUUCUACCAAUUAACUACAAUUUAAUAUGAAAAAAAACUGGUUAUACAUUAAACUUGGACUUUCAACCUUUUUUCUAAAGGUUUUUGUAGCCUAUAAAUAAUGAAAUUCUUUGGAGAAUUUCUGAUACACUUCUCUUAACAAAAUAUUAUUUUAAAUAUUAUUUUCCCUACACUCAUUUCUUUCUCUCUCAUUCUGUUUUCUUUGGGCAAAGUAAAAUAUUGGGAAACUUCUGCUUCUCUUGGUUGUGCAGAUCAAAGGGAAGCAACAACUAUAGAAUUGGAUUGUUGUAUCCUGGAGGCGGUGCGCUAGGCCUUCUGCAUCGAUUAAAAAAAUACCGUAGGGAUGCAUAUUGUUUUAAAAAGAGCAUUCUACUCGCAUCAACCCUACCAGACUUCUUAGUAGCUGUCAAAUUCAAGGUGGUGAGGUUGAAGAUUAGAAGUGGUUCGUGUACUCUCCUCUCAACUCACGCCAAAUUAACUUUUAUGGUACAAAUUAUUUACAUUUUUUAAUGAAAUAUUGAGGUAUGAAAUUUUUGUUAAUUUCUUUGUUAAAUUUUAUUAGAGAAAUUAUUGUUACUUAUGUGAUUUAUUUUGGUCGAGUACCAACAAUGAGUUCAACAGCUUGAGAGGAUUGAAUCGAUCGCUACUUUGACUACACUAAUUUUUAGUGAAUUCAAUGAGUUACCUUGGGGACAUAUCCUCUUCGAAUGAUGAUCAUAUAUAUAUAUAUAUAUACACACACACACACGCACGCACGCACACAUACGUGUUUGUAAACAAACUCACGGACUUUAAAUACUCGCGAGUUCAAAGUAAAAUUGGUAUUAAUUAGUUGCCUUUUCUCACCAUUUUGUAACUUUUGAAGAUCUUAUUACAAGAACCAGAAAAUUUUGGCACUUUCGGAGGGAUUAGGAUAGGGCUACAAACAAGUUAAACUACUUGAGGGUUGCGGAUGCUCAACUCCGCACUUACUUGGCGUUGGUCCAAGUUCAAGCAGCUGCAGCUUCUAAGUAAACAUUGCCCCUCAGAAAAAUGUGUGUCCUCUAAAAUUUGUAAUCAGGUAUUGAUGCAUGCGUGUACUUGGUAUUCCAAUGACAAUUACAAGAUUUGCAGGAUAGUCAGUCCAGUUAGGUAUCGGGGAUGCUAUUUUGCUAAAUCUAAUCAAGUCGAGCUAAUUGUAAAAUGUUUGAGUCUCUGGUGUAAGCUAGAGUUUGUCUUAGUCCAUCUUGAGACAAUUUAUUGAGGUUUCCGUAGGUCUUUCAAUUCAGGAACAAGUGCAACGUUCAGGGAUUAAUAGAUAAUUCUUGCACGUAAAUCAUAUUUAACAAAUAAAUAAGAGUGGCUAGAAUUAAGUUUUGCACGUAAAUGUUAAUUACCAAAUGAACAAAUGCCUAGAAUUGUAGAUAAAUUUUACUUGUAAAUCUUAUUAACCAAAUAAACAAUUGCAUGGAAUUAAUUCUGAUUAGAACAUGCCCAACUUCCUUUGGCCAGGAAAAGGCAGCCUGACAUUGGCAACCCAAGAAAGAUGGUAAACAACUCAUAGUGGUAAGCUUGAAAAGAGGAUGAAAAUCCCCAAAAAAUAAAAUCCCUAAGGUACAGUAGUACUAGCUAUUCUAUAGUACUAUGUUUUUGCGGCUCUUGACCGUGGUUUUAGUACGUGACCAAUCAGCAUUAGCUCUUGAAUCUCUUCCGUCCACCAAUUUCUCAGCCAAUAUCCUUUCCAGCUCGCUUGGCCUGCAAGGAAUAGUUAAUGCACCUUCUACGUCGAAGCCAUAUUCUUCAGCAGCUUGUUCCAAGAGUCUCAAAAAUGUUGGAUGUGUUAGAUAACUCAAGGGGACAACAAAUCUCUUCAGCUCAUCAUCAUCCACAGCUAUGACAGCAAAAUGCCCUUCCUUAACAUCAUCAGGGACAUUUGUUGAAUCAUUAACUUCUUCGAAUUCGUCAGCUCGGGAAGCUAACUUCUUGCCUAAUGAAAGACUCUUCUGUAGCUUCUCUGCGACUAUCUUGAGCUUCACAAUGCCAUUCUUUUUCUUGCCAUUUGUUCUAGUCAUUUUCGCCAUGACUCUUUUUUUUUUCCUUUUGUUUUGCUUGAAGUUUGAACAAGUCUUGGUGCUUUUUCUGCGCAAAUUAAACCUGCAUAUUUAUAGUGGAAGAGGUCGUGACAAAGAUAAGGUCAGGUGAUGUUUGUCGGGUUAAGAUUAAAGAGAUCGGGACAUGGGAAGGACUGAAUGAGAGUCGUGUAAUUAUGGGAGACCGCUGCAUGUGCAUGAAGUUUCGACUCAAGCAUGAAAGGUCGCUUUUAGCUAGCCAUUCCUGCCUUCCAAUCAUUCACAUCUGUACAGUUUUCUUAGCUUGCUUCGUCUAGGCGUUAUAUACUCAGGAAAACUUGCUCAAUCUCAUUAAAAACCCUGUAAGGGAAAGUUGCAUACUCUAAGUUAGUGCCUAAUACGGAUUGUACAGAUUGCGGAACUGAUUCCCAUUAAAUCGUUUGUAAUGUCCCGUCUAACAGCUGUAAUGUGCCAAACAUAUCCCAUCAACCAAUGACCAGCUUGUUUUAGAUUUUCAUUUUGCUAUUCAUAUCCAAUGAGUAGAUACUACUUUUUGGAUUAAUCGUUCUUAAUAUGACCAGUUUAUACCCUAAUGAAGUCUUAAUGAGCAUGUCACGUAAUCACAAUUUCAAAUUGAAUUCUAAAAAUUCUGUACGUGUGACAUGUAUCUAUAUCUAUAUACUAUUUGGGUAUGAAAAAUUAAUCUUACCUUUAAUUGCUUGCACCUCUUUACUUUCUUUCUGAAACUAGUGUAGCACAUAAAAUCUGAGAUAGAAAAGUACCAAUGAAAAUGUAGUUGCAUAAUAUGCACUAAUUUGUAAAAUAAACUGAGUAGUGCUUUGUCUACAUCAAACAAAAAAAGGGAACUUGACAUGAAAUUAAGCAUUUUAAUUGUCUACUCAUGAAGUUUUUUGUGCUUUCACAGGCAUUUUAAUUGUCCACUCAUGAAGUUUUUGUACUUUCACCAUGUGUACGUGGUUUGUGCAUGGUUAAUAUAGAAGGGUGGUUGGCUUCCCCUGUGCAGUUUUGUACCCUCUACAUCUGCAGCCACAUGACAUAUGGAGAGCUUUCCGGAACCGUUGAUGAGUAGUAUCUCUCGAAUUAAUUCAGAGAUCAUGUGGCACAUAUAUGAUAGAACAGAUCAGCCUCAAGCAUGUUAGUUUGCUCCUCUCUUUCAGCAGCUUAUUUCUGUCUUUACCCCACUUGCAUAACAAGCAUGGCAUACUUCACACACGGACGGCUAACUUUCACAAGAAUAUGCAUCUAUAAUUGUACCAGCUAUGCCCGUGACAUCUGACUAGAUCCUUCCAAUGGAAAUCCAGCUGCAUGUGUAAUUACCCUACUAUAUUUCUCAUACUCUAAAUCAGUAGAAGAUGAGUAGAGUGCCUGAUCAAUUGCAUUGAAGUCUGUAAUUAAUGUUGGACAUUAGUAAAUGCAUUGGCUUAAUUUGAUUUGAUCAUUUUUGUUUGUAAUUUUGAUUUCUUGAUCACCUCAAAUGGGUAUGAUUAGCUAAGUAGCCAUGAGCAAAAAGGGCUUUUUCUUUAUUUUGCCAACGAUUGUUUAGCAAUUUUAUCUCUGCAAACAAUCUUGCAAGUAUUAAUGACCAAUGCAAGGACGGACUCAGCAGUUUUCAGCUCUCAAUGGCAUAAUACCUCAUAAAUUUAGGGUCACGCAAUUUGUAGUUAGAAUUUGAAGAAUGAGAAGUAAAACACACCAGCAUAGCACAUUCGAUUGUCAAAGGAUAUAAUGUUCGGCCUACUGUAGAUGUGAUGGUAUUUGGCUAUUUGCACAUUUGCAACGACAAUGGUGUAAAAAUUUACAUAAAUCCACAUGUAAGAGAUGAACAAACUGCUGUCCACAAAAAAUUCUUUCAUAUAUAUGCGGACUAUUAGUUAGUUUGAAUUGUAAAAAGUUUGCAUGAACUGUACAAAAUUCGUUCGAUAUCUAGUAAUGAUCGUUUGUUUCAAUCGCAUUGGUUCAAUUUCUUCUCACUUUGAUGCAAUAAAUUGCGUGGCAUGAGCAUUGACUUUUUUUUUUUAAUUUCGUGUCAGUUUGGACUUUCUCUACAUGCAAAGGAAGACCAUUUUUUCUUUUUGAUCAACAAACGUUUAAGGGUCGCUAAAGCUGUAAAUUUCAAACCAGGUACCUUGGACUGAAAUCUUGAACUGAUGGAUUUACGUACCUCAGAGUGCAGCAAUAUUGAAUUAAAAAAAAAAUAUAUCGUUACUGCAUGAUUAGAAAGGGAAGAGGGAACAGUGAAAAUUAAGGGAGUACAAUUCUAUCAUGGUAUGCAAUGUCGGCUAAAGAAAUGGCUUGUCAUAACUUGAAAUCUCUUAGAAUUACAAUUUAUACCCCCAAUGAAAUGUGAAAUAAAUCCUACUAUUAUCCUGGUUGCUAUGAUAAUGUCGCAUAGAAUAAUAAAUGAAGAGAACUAGUAAUGUAUCAACAAACAAGUUCUAACAGUUUAGAACUCUCAAGUUGCAAUUUGAUUUUUCUUGAUCCACAACAUUUUACCUGGUAUCAUCAUUUGGAUAUCUUGACUAGGAGUUACUAUUUCUUUAGAAGGAUUUGAAAAGUUUUGCUUGUUAAUUUAAGGCCCCACUGAAAAAUAUUUCUUGCUAGAGAUAUUUUCUUGUGGCCUUUGCAGUUGAAACCAGACGUACGUACAAGUUUAUUAGCGUCUUAUCCUUGUUUGUUAUAUAUGUUGAACAGUCAUUUCCCGAACCAUCCCAUAUCUUAAUAAUCUAUAAUAUUUUAAGCUAGCUAGCCUGGCAUGUCCAUGCUCGUUUCCUUACUUCACUAUCGAGGUCAUUAUUACUUGCAUAUGGUUCAAAUUAAUUCUUCACCCAUGGUGAUCAAAACAAUAUACAACCGCUGGCUUUGGACCUCAAACCUGCAUAUUAUCCACUUAAACCCGAAAUUAUUACAAUUUGUUUACUUCAAACAGUCAGUUCAAUGAAGAAAAAAAGAAUGUAUAUAUAUAUAUGUAUGUUGAACGGUUGACACUGCAUGACUAAAAAAGAGCUAGGGAAUAAGGAAAAGCCAAAGACAUUAAUUUGCUACAUGGCAUGAAACUCAAUGAAGAAAAAAGAAUGUAUAUAUAUAAUAUGUUUGAACGGUUGACACUGCAUGACUAAAAAAGAGCUAGGGAAUAAGGAAAAGCCAAAGACAUUAAUUUGCUACAUGGCAUGAAACGACAACAAUGAGAAGAUAUUGUUACGUCCAGUUGAAACCAGACAAGUUUGCUAAGGAGUUUUUAAUCCUUGUUAAUUUGUGAAUAUGAGUAUUCCUUCCCAGAACCAUCCCAGUUCUUAUGCGAGAAAGAUCAAAAAGGGUUUUUGGUCAUCAGGAGAAUGAUCGCUCUGCAAGUUUAUUGAAUCUCUGACUACAUUAUACACGGCUCAUCUAUGAUCUACCCCACUGCGAGCAGGAGUCUCUUCGUUUUUUUCUUUUGGAGCUGGCAUUCAAAGUACAUAAACGAAGAAAGCGCAUAAAUUCAGGGCCCAUAAGUCAGUUGCCACGUGAAACUGUUCUCAUCCCUUCAUAGUCUUUGAGCAUUUUAGUCUGCUUCUCGUAGAUAAGAGCUCAGGAAAAAAAAAAAAAAAAAGGUUCCACCUAAUAUAAUGUAUAUAUAUAUAUAUAUAUAUAUAUAUAUAUAUUAAUAUUAUAAGCUGGAGGGAAAAAACCCAAAAAGUUCAUGAUCAAAUGCUUGAUGUGGAAAGCACAUUUUCUGUAGGGGAAAUAUUUGGACGAAAGUAUUUUGCAAUAAGCAGUGAGAAACAAAAUUAAUGAGAAAUGGUCCACAUUAUUCUAAUGAGUUGAAUAGAGCUAAUUAAUGUGUAACUUGUCCCACGUAUUACUAACUAAUAUGGUAUUGAAGUAUUGAUGGUUCUGCAGACAGCAGCCCCAAUCGAGUAGGAAAAGAGAGUUGAUUAGGUUUCUGUUGCUCACUUUCAUUUGCUUAAAAUUUGGGUGGGGAGAAUGCACAGGGUUAUUCCACAUUACCUGCAUCAGAUAUUAUUCAAUUGCAAUUAGGAAUAGUUUGUUUUCUACUAUGUUGUAGAGUAUUUGCUCAAAAAAAAAAAAAAAGAAUUGUAGAGUACUUAACUAAUAACAUUGGGCUGACGUUAAGUAAAUCUUUUUUUAUUAAAGAGGUCUUGAUUUAGUGGUUAAAAUUGAGACUCCAAAUCUGAGAGGUCCUGAUUUCUAACCCCUUUUUUACUUCAAAAAUCUCAUUUCUUCCUUACUAGAAAAAGAAUAAAAAAAAAAAAGUCCUUUCUAUCCCAUUGGCCCAAGAGUGCUGAAUUGAACAACAACAUGUGUUACAUGAAUUUUUUGUCAGAUUUUUAAUCUAUUAUAUCUUAAUAUGUAUGCAUGUUGGUAUGGUUCCAUUCACCGCCUGAUAUGGUUUUGAUCAAAAAGGGAAAAAAGACAAAGAUUUUUCUUUGGGGAUAAUUUUAGUAUUAAGAGGACUUGCAUGAAAAUAAGGUUAACAACGAUGGAUAAUGGUUAGUUAAUAGAGCUAAUCCACAAGGACCACAACCACCUUUUCUAUGGUGUCUAGUCACUGGUGUUUACGCUUAAAAUGAGCAUUAUGACUACAUAUACGGAAUUCGACACCGUAUUCCUAGUUAGAAUUUCCUUUUUCGAAUUCAAUAAUGUUUUAGCAAAUUUUGGUUCAAGUCAUUUUCACGAGUAAAUAAUCACAUUGUUGUGGGGGGGGGGGGGGUUUGGCGUGUUACUCUGCUAGAGACGUGUUCUUGAAGGCUGACUAUGAUCUUCUCCUAAAAAUGCUCUAGAGGUUAUGAAAAAGAGUUGGAGAACAAUCCAAACAGAAAAUAGAGCAAAAGUACUUAGGCUCCGUUUGAUAACACUGAAUCUGAAUUCCGAAUUCUGAAUACUGAAAUAAUUAAUUUGCUGAAUUUUAAGCACUGAAAAGAGAUAUAUGAAUGUCUGAAUCUUAAUGCUGAAUCUAUUUAUACUGUUUGAUAAAUAUUCAUAACUUAAUGCUUAAUAAGCUAAAUUGUACAAUUUUACCCUUCUAUCUUUUAAUCCAAAAAGAAAAUAGAACCUAUGAUUUAAUUAGCUUAAAAUUGUUAGGUAUAAAAAAGACAAUAUUUAUUUUCAAAUCAAAUUAAUAUAAAAGAAGAAAUAUAUUAUGCAAAACAUUAAAAGAAACAUUACAAUCCAAUAAUUCAUAUAACAUAUAAAUUCGACCUAAAAAAUUUAGAAAUGAUUGUUUGAAUAGAGAAUAUCAGAUUGUUUUGUUUAAUUAGAUAAGGAUUUUGAAUAGAGAAUAUUAGAUUGUUUAAUUAGAUAAGGAUUUUGAAUGUAAUUAACAAACAGGGAUAGAUUUGGUAGAUAAGAUAAAGUAGUUGAAAUAAAUCUCUUGAUUCUUAUCAAAUUAAGCAUUCAGUUACGAUUCUUGUGCUGAAAAAAAUACAUACAAAUUCAGCACCACUUAAUAAGUUCAGCAGGUGAAUUUUUAUUUAUUAAACACCCAAAACCUCUUAAUGUCUGAAUGAAUUUAGUUUCAGCACUUUUUUAUGUUAUCAAACAAGCACUUAAACAAAGAAGGUUGUGUUGGCAUUUCGGGCAAAUAGUGGUUUCUUCUCCUAACCUUUGAAUUUCGUUCUUUGGCAAAGUUUGAUCAAUCCUGGACUAGUCUUGACAUCAAUGUCUUAGCAAUUUUAAAGUCCAUAAAAUUUUUGAAAUAAGUGCACAAUCAAGAAGAAAAAGAUAAUAGCAUUUGCUUACAAAUUCAAAUUAUGUACAGGGAGAACUAAUUUUUAAACAGUAAAAAUUAUCAAGGAUCAAUUUUCAAGUUUCAAUUGUUGUGAAUCAAUGUACUUCUCAAAACAAUUAUGGGCUCAAAGAUGAAAAUGGAAUUGAAAAAAAGGAAAAAAAAUAAAGACUGCAAAGUUGAGAGCGAAAACGGGAGAGACAAAAUGGAGAGAGACUGAUUUGAAAGUGAAUCACUUUUGAACUAUUUUCUUAUACUAUAUAAGAAUGAGUUUAGAUCGAAGGGGUUUUGAAUUUCAACUGGAAGGAUAGGGGCAUUAUGGGAUUGUGAGGCUAUUUGGAAUGUAGUUAUAGUGCAAAGUACAAUUUAUGGUAGAAUUUGUUUUCUUGUACUUCCGAAAAUGGACUUUUGUUUUGUAAAUGCAAUAUGGUUCAAUUUAUGUUUUUGAAAAUAUUUGGACAUUUCUGAAAUGUAUGGUUAUCGUGGUUGUCUUUAUAGUAGUGACUAGGGGAAAAAGCCCACGUCACGCGCGGGAGUUUAGUACCUGUACUUAAAGAUAGUUAAUAAUUAUUAUUUGGUAUUUUGUAGUAUAAGAAUUGAAGUAUGACAAUUUUAUAAUGUGAUAUUAAACAGAAAAAUCAUAAAUUACAUAUUGAGUCAAAAAAAUAUAAUAUGCAAUGCAAUAUAAUUAUCAAAUACGAUCAAGCACUUUGCGUUUAAUCUAAUAGAAUAAAAGAUCUACUUAUAUUUGCUCAUGCACUUUAAGGAUAUUAAAAUUUGUUAUUUAGUUUGAAUUUGAUCUUAAUAUGAGGGCAAUUCACCACAUUAUCUAGUCAUAUAAGUGAGAUUUGAACAAUUAGCAUACUUGAAGAAAUCAUUGCCAGUGAAAUUUUGGUUCUUGCAAGCCAAAUUCUUGAAUUUAUAUUGAUUACAAGGACAUAUUAUCAUGAAACCUCCACAUUGACCAAUCAAUCAUUUAUGAUUUAUUGUAUGAUUUAGGACAUAUAGCAAAACAUAUCCUUCUCGAUAGGGGUUACAAUCACAAAAUAUCAAUUUUUGACCUAGUUGCAAAAAUAUACAAUAACUAACACGCUAAUCUAGAUAAAUAAUUACCUAAAAAAAUACUAAAACAUCUUAAUCCACUCAAUUCAAGAAAAUAAUUAAAAGUAAUGAAGUACAUACUUUUAAGUAGAUAGUUAAACAUAUUGGCAAAUCAAAUGAAGUGAAAAAUUGCCUAAAUGGAAUCAUCAAUAAAGUAGCAAACAAUUUGAAAAUUACUGUAACUAAUAGUUAAAACAACAAAAGAAAAAGAUGCAAUCUAUAAAUAGAAAAAAUUUAUGAUGAUAAACUUAUUUUAAACCACAAAUAACAAUUAACAAAUGUGAUCUCCUCCCUAUCAAGUCUAUCUAACAUGGACAAUUGAAUUAAAAUACUAAAAAAAAUAUUGCACAUACAGCUUGCAAGAUCACAGAUUUCUUACAACCAAAAAAGUAGAUUAGCUACAGAAAACAUAUCUAUUGAGAAAGAUGUUGUCAAAUGGGAAAGAGGAGUAGCUAAUACAGCAACAUCCGAAUUCAAUAGACUACAUGAUUGUAGUGGAAUAAAGUUAUAAGUAAAUGAAAUGAAUUUGAAUAGAUGGGAGUUACUAUGGUAACGGUUAAGAAACCAAACUUCUUUACUAAUCGACAUUAAUUGUGUCUUAACAUCUAUAUAUCAUAAGUUUGCAAAUAACUAAUGAGAAAAGCUUUAAGAAAUUAAGAGACUUGGAUGUUAAUACAAUUAAAUAAUUAAAAGAGUUUUUAUGUAAUUUCACUAAAACACAAGUUGAAUUCAAUUGUACCCAAUGUUCAAUCGGAUAUCGAACACUGUCACAGGUUAAACUUACCCCUAGCUAUAAAUGUCUGAGAGGACAUUUAAGUAAUUAUAAAAAAAAAAUCAAAAUAGUUAUAAUGAUUCAUAUUCAAUACUCCAAUUGCACUUUAUAAUACUCUCAUAUUCUCAAAAUAACCCCAUCAUUGCGGUUGAAAUUUUUGCACUAAAUUCAUUCUUAUCAACAUAACAUACAAUGCACCGAAGAGGUCUACUGUUCACUUUUCGUCGUCAUCACGUGCUGCUCGUGUGAGUUACUUCUGUUGUGUGCCGCUUGUGUGACUUCAACAUAAUUCCUUCCGCAUGCUCCACUGUUGGAAUGGUUCUCCUUAUUGGGUCGCACAUGGGUUUUCUUCUGACUGGUCUUACAAGUUGCUUUCCUUUCCCGGCUCUCAUCGCAGCUGCAUUGUCUGGAAGUAGCAGUAGCGCUUCAUCAAGAAUGGUAAUUGGUGUGAUUUCUCAUGGCUUCCCGCUUCCCUUUCCGCUGCCGUCCGAAUUCCGAGAAAGGUUAGCUGUGCCCUUUUUGCCUCCGGUUUUGUUCAUCUGGUUUCUCUCAUUUCCAUUUUCUCAAAUAUCUGGUUUCUCGUUUCCAUUUUUCCACUUUUGCUGUGUCCUUGAACCCGUUCCCUUCUUUUGAUCUCCUUCCUCUCGCCGUCUUCUCGGGCAUCUUGAUUGCGAGCUUGGUUACAUCUCACGGAGCUUGCUUUACUAGUGCGUUUUACCGUUCCCUUUUUUGUGCUCCUUCCUCUCGUCGUGCUCUCUGGGUUCCUAUGCGUUUUUUCCCAUAUCAUUUUUCCCUCCCAAUUUUUGAUGCUUUAAUCCUUGUCGUGUUUUUGAUGCUGCUGUUUUCUUUAAUUGUUGCCCUAUUUCGCUACUAUAUCUAUCCCUUAUUCUUGCCGUUUAGUGUUCCUUGCUUAUAUAUGUCAUUAGUUCCGUGUUUCCGAGUAAUAUUGCUAAUGUACAAAUGGUUUUCCCUGAUAUGAUUUUUCUCUGCUGUAGAUUCCGUUGCUGUUUUCCCUUGGGAUUUCCCGUGAUAUGCAUGUGUUUCUGUUUCUUAAAUUUUAUCCCCUUUUGUUGUCGUUGUUGGUUAUAAAUGAGAUUCUUAGCCGGUGGAAAUGGCUGCCAGGCUCCUUUUCUUUUUAACUUUUUGGGGUUUCUCUGGCACUUUUAGCGUGGAGUGGGGUACCUUUUCAUAGAAAUCCAAAUCCAUCUAGGUGAGCCAAUGUUGUUUGCCCAGAAAUAUGAUUUCUGCCCCCAAUGAUUUUUCCCUGUGGCUACCAGACCCCUUUUCCAGUUUUUGUAGGCUUCUUUGGCAUUUUUAAUGUAGAGUGAGGCAAAUUUUCGUACAAAUGCAUUUUUAAGUGAAAUGAUCUUUGUAUGUCUAUGAAUAUGAUUUUUUAUCUCAGUUAUUUCUGUGUAGAUGGGUUGCUCUUACUGCAUUUCCUUCUUGUUGCCCUCGAGUCCUUCUUAAAUUUUUCAUUAACCUUGCUGCCUUGUGCUUCCGUCUUUUCUUUUGUAUCUUCUAUUACCCUUGCUGCUUACAAACAAAAUUGCUUGCCUAAUGUUUGCUGCUGCUUCUUUCUCUGCCCUCUAAGAAAUGGCUACUGGGACUGUUCCCAUAUCGCGAGUUGAUGAGUCUGCGUUUGAUUGGACUGUGCUGGUUCAAGUUAUUGAGGCUGAUCGUGUGAAGAUUGCUCGGGAUGGGGAUUUAUCGAGGUCUUUCCAUUGGUUUGAGUUUGGUGACUUUCAGGUUUGUGCCCUCCAGAUUUAUCCUUCUUGCCCGCCUUCUAUUGUGUUCAUUAUUUUUUUUGUCUGACUAAUUGAAUCUUUUGAGUUUUUCCCCCUGUGGAUAGGGUAUCAAGGUCUCUGCAAUUGCCUUUGAUGAUGACGUUGCUAUUGUUGAUGGCCGUCUUUUGCCAUUUAGAAAUUAUUACAUAUCAAAUGCAGAAGUCCGUGAAAUUCCCGACCUUGUGGGACUGGCCUGUAUUCAUUUUACCGGGUUAUUAAAGAGGGAACUACUAUUGAAGAGGCUGCUGGCUCAUGGGAAUUGGCCCUUCCUUUCUAUUUUGAGUUGCGCUCUUUUCAGUACUUUCACUUUGUGCCUGACACGGAUAUUUUUAUAAGUUCGUCUCUUUUUUUGAUAUGCUUUGCAUUUCUUCCUUUCUUGUUGUUUGAUUGUUCCUGAUUGUUUGCAUGUAUGUUUUUAACCUAGAUGUCAUGGGAGUGGUCAUCCAUGCAUUACCUCCCCGGGAUGUGUAUUUUGAAGGGAGUAAGCGAUAUGGAAGAGAUUAUAUUAUAGUUGACCAAUGGUGAUUUUUUCCCUCUUGCAAAUAGGGCCUUUUAUUUCUUUUGUUGCUGUUUCCCGGCAAAUUUUCAUACAGUAGCUGCUUGCUGCUUAUUUUAAGCCUGUUCUCCUCUGUGUUGAUGCAUGCAGUAAACGCCAGUGGUAUUGACUUUGUGGGAUGAUUAUGAGUCUAUUGAGGGCUGUGUUAUAAAUGAAUCGAUGGUGUCCAUGCCGAUUAUUAUUGCUAUGAGGGUUAGGGUUACCACACGAAAUUGUAUGAUUCCUUGUCGCUUAUGUUCUUUCCCCCUGUAUGGUUUCUUUGCUUAUGCGUGUUUUUUCUGCUCUGUUUUUUAGACCUAUCACUGUCACUCAGCCAUCAUCUGUUAUCAUUGUUGCUCCCGAUGUUCUUGAGGCGAAGCAUCUUGAUGAUUGGUAGUCAUUGUCUUUUUCUGUAUUGUAUGUUUCUGUGUUUUUUUUUUUUGAUUGUAUCAUGCGUAGAACUGCUUUGUUCAUGUAGGUCUAAUGCUAAUAUUUCGGAGCUGGUUCGUAUGAUUUUUGAUGAUAUGGCCUACCUUGAUCCGUGCGUUUUGUUGCCCCUGUUCGUGACGCGACGCUCAUACCAAUCUAUAAUGUUAUAUCCCAUGCUAAAUCUGUUGCUAAUAGGGUAUUGUAAUUUUGUACUCCUGUUAGUAUGCUUCUUUUGUUUAUGCCUCUCUUUACAUUUUUUCUUACCCUGCUCAGCUACUCUUUUGUUGUUUCUAGGACCAGGGGACUUUUUGGAUUAAGGGCCGUGUUGAAAUUGCAUGGCCUUCGUCUCGGUUUUGGCAUAUGGCCUGUCCCCAUUGUUAUGAACUCUAUGAAUUUUCGUCAACUUUGGGGAUCAUAUGCCUAAGUUGUGGUCAGGGAAUGCCUGAGUUCCCUAGGUGAUCUUUUAUUCUAUUGCUUUUGUGUAUGUUUAUGAGUUAUUGAUAUACAAUCGAUUGUAUUUAUGUUUUUAACUUUUUCAUAUCAUGAAUUGUCUGUUAGGGCAUGGGUUCGUCUUACGGUGUUCGACAAUACUGGGUACGUAAAUGUUAUUGCCUUGGGUCCAGAAGCUGAGCACCUCAUCGGCCUAUGUGCUGCUGAUAUGUAUCGUGUUUCUGACCAUCAGGUGAUGUGUUUUUAAGUCUAUAAGUGUUGCUCUACUACUGCAGGUGUUCAUUUUGCUUUUAGCACCCAAUUCAUUCCUUUCCCAAAUUUAUGCCAUCUUGCUUUUUCUGCAGACCUUUGAAAUCUCCAAGCGUGUGUCUCGUCAGAUUGAUGGAAAGGAACUGUUGUGUUACCUUAAGUAUUCGUCCAAGAUGAUUAGGACAGCAACACAUAGUAACUACACUAUUGUUGCUUGUUAUCCUACUUCCGGAAAUGUUUCUUCUUAGAGCGUGCCUUUUUGUAUGCAAUGUUUAGUCUGUUGCCUUGAUUAGCAGCCUCGUAGGUCCUUACAUCACUAAGCAUUAUUUUUGUAUCCCAUGGUUGUAUUUUGCUGUGUUUAGUUAUUGAAUUUACGGUUUGCCACCGUGUACUGUGGGUGGCUUUUUUGGCUGGGUAUUUCUUGCACGUUCAGUUUUAUGCUUUUUUGGCUGGGUAUUUCUUGCACGUUUAUUUUAAUGGAUUUUUAUGGCUGAUAUUUAUAGUUGUUUUCUUUGGUUGUGUUCUGUGGUGUUGUUAUAUGCAUGAUGAGCUGCUCUGGCUCUUCCGCCAAUCCAACAGAUUCCAUGGAUUUUAUGAUUCAAGGGGUUUUUUAGCUACAACAGGUGUAUAUAUAUGUGCCGACGUUAAACAGGUUCGGCCUGAUGUCAAGCUUAUGUAUUGACAGACUUUUACGUAUGCCUGGAGUUCAUUGUGAUGGUUUUGCUUCCAACCCUGUGACCUCUAUCAUCACAGUGAACAUAUUUUCCCAUUAAGACCACGAACGGCUUUUGUUCCUUACGGCUUUUACGUAUAUUGCCUUAUUUUCCUUAACAUUUUUAUACUUCCUUAUUACUUUUUACGAGUGGCUUGCCAAUUAACCUACUGAUCUGUGCUCCACUCAAGAUAUAUAUAUUCCGUUGCUGGAAUGCAAGUUACUGAUGCACUCGUUGUUGCCCGAUGUAAUGUGCCAACGAUUGGUUUUCGUAUUCCUAAAUUAUUUCGCUUAGUUAGUUUUCUACUGAACUUCGCCUUUUUCCUUCCUUGUCCAUUCUACCAGCCUCAUGUAUGGUAGCCUCUAAAUAUUUAGUUCUAUGCUAUGAUCGGUAUAAAAGUAAAUACCUUCUUGCUGAUGCCUAAAUAUUUAAUUGCCCUCACUAACAUCUUUUUCCCCCACGGCUGUUUAAUUGCUUGAAUUAAAUCGGAAGGUAUCGUAUAUGUGUUUUGCCUGUGCCAUUUCCCCCCAUAAAUUUUUUUUUCUAUCUUCCAUUCACUUUUUUUUUUACCAUAAUUAUAUGCGCAAUACUUUUAAAUUCGGCGAACAGAUUUUUUCUUUUUAAUCGUAUCUAUAUUUUUUUGGCUAUAUUUUUAGAAAACGAAAAAAUAAGUCCGUAAGCUUUUCCGUCAUCAUCCUGGUGUUAUAUGUGAAAAAAAUUAUAACGACCUGUUUACCUUUCGUUAAGACUUUUUAGUUUUUACUUGUGCUGUCUUGUACUUUUGCCAUGGGAGUGUCUAUUUUUUUAGCUACUUUAGUGUUUCCCCCUAUGUCUAACGUCUACUAGAGAAUUGCCUUUUGUUGCCUUUUCUUCCCCUUAUGUCUCAUUGUUUCCCUUUACGCCUGUUCCUUAUCAAUAGUUUUUACCUUGCAGAUGGUUGUGCUUUCGCCUUAGUUCAGGAUGUUGUGAAUCUUUCCUUUGUCAGGCGCUUUUAAUUGUAUAUGCUCAUAGUUGUCUCUAUCUUCGUUUUAUCUAGGUUCUCUAUUAUCGAAGCUUAACGAUUUUUAUGCUAUCUAAAUAUCCGUGUAGGCAACAGAGCCCAGUAGCUUACGAUCAUUUAGACUAUGGAACAGAACCAUUCUUUCUUGGUUAUCUUUUCAAAAAUGCCGCUCGGUUCUCCAAUGCUGCAGCAUUGUCCAUUAAUAGUUACUCAUUUUCUUGGUCAAUGUGCUCCUACCUCUUUGAAAUUUUUUCUCAACUUAGGUCUUCUUUUCCUUAUCACGCGUUUUUAUUUAGUGGUCUUUUCCGUUGUAUUCUCACAACUGCUGGCUUGCUUGGAACUUUUGUCCUCUGUGUUGAGCUUUCCAGGUAAUUUGUUCGUUCUUCUCUUAUUGUUUGUUCUUUACCGGUCCACGCUGCACUAGCAUUAUACGUAGGCAAGUUUAUGUUAUUUUUGCACGCCAUGUGUUUGUUACAUGCAUGUAAUGCAUAAGGCAGCCUCAUCUAGCAUUUUAUUUGCAUGAAAGUUAUCGUUGUAAAAGAACAAUGUAUCUACUGUCUUGUGAUUAUCUUGUCCUUUUUUUCAUGGGUUUCUUCUUUAACUGCACUUCCCUUGAACCUACAUUGGUUGCUUUGUUCUCAUAUAUAGACGCAUGACUCGUAGACCAUUGUCCUUUUCCGAAACGUUAGCUAUUCUGCUUUCAUUUUUUUGUUUCUCUGAACAUUACGGUUCUUAAAAAUCUAUGUUUGCUUUUUUCCACGUUAUCUUGUUCUUUUCCCAACAGGAGUUUCUUCUUGCACAGCGCUUUCCUUGAACUUGCAUUGCGUGCUUUGUUCCCAGGUAAACUUCUACUUUUACCGACCCAUUUUUUCUUUUUCCUGUUCUUGAUUUAACGAACUUUGAUGUGUUUUGCAUUCUGUAUAUCUGCUAAUUUCUAAAUAUUCCUGUUAGUCCUCAUUUUCUACUCUUUUUCCCUGCUACAUUGGUUUAUUCUUUAUGUGUUCUAUUUUUCUCUACCUUGCGAUUUAACCUUUUUGCCAUCUGUUGUGAAGUCUUUUCCUCCUUCAAUUUUUUUUGUUGGCUACUCUGUUAAUACCACUACCUUUUAUGCUGCUCGUCAUAUAGUGUUUGCUUCAUGGUCAAUGGAUUAUAACUUAAAACGGCGCAUGCGAUACGCUGCUAUGGAUCAAGAGAAGAAAGAUGCUUUGUUACGCCGUAGGAGAGCAGCGUAUGCUGCGAAAAAACAAAGUAGUCUCUUGCUCCCACUCUUGUUGUGCAACCGUUAGAGAAAAAUAGGUCUAUGCUUGCCCAUUGUUCAACUGGUUUCGAGACUACCUCUAUUCAGGUAGAUACGCCCUUUGGAGCCUGUGAAAUACCUGAUACAGAUGUUCAGAUAUAAUGGGUAGCGAUGAAUUAGCUGAUGCAUUUGAUGUUAUUUCUGAACGGCUAGCUUCGAAUGUAAGAAGCCAGAACUUGCCUCCUCAAAGCUCCUUACCUGUUAGUUCUAACGUGCUUUGCCGGCUAGGAGGUAUAUUAUUUAUUAGACUAGAUUCCUGAGUUAUACAGUCUUUAUUUAUCCAUCUGGCCAAUUUCUGAUUGGAUUCUCUUUUGAAUAUACCUCCUUCCUACCGCUUACAUAGAUUCCUCUGUUCUUAUCUCUCCAGUAAUUUAUACCUGGCUCUCUCGUGCACUACUGUUGUUCCUUCGUUGUGUCUUACACCAAAAUUAUCUAUAGCUGAUUCCAAAUCAUCAUUCUUCUAUGUAUUUCUAUUAUGGUUAACCUGUCUAAGAUUGUGUCCUAUUUUUUUUAGUUCAUGGCAUGGUGCCUGUUGAAGAGGGUACCUGUGUUCUUGAUUUUGGUAACUCUAGAUUUUCUGAUUCUUCAAACAACCCACAGAUCGUUGUGAAUACACGCGUUGAGGGCGAAUGUUAGUGAUGGAUUGUCUCAUUUCUUUAUGUACAUCUAGGAGUAAGAUUUUGGUGAUUUGCUCUUGUCCGUCUACGGUGAUACAUUUUUUUCCCUAUUGUCUUAGGAAAAAGAAACGACCUAGAACCACAAUUCUUCACGCUUCAAAAAAAUACCGACAAAACCUCUUGUCCUGCCUAGUGUUCCGGACUGUGAGCACUGUGGAGCAAAGAGGUUUACCUUGGAACCGCCCAAAUUUUGUUGUCGUGGUAGGGGAUUUCUGUAGUUUGUCCGAAAAUGCCUUAUGAACUCUUUCGUCUUUACUCUGGUACUGACGAGGAGUGUAUUGAGUUUCGCAAAUGGGUUCGAACCUAUAACAAUAAUUUGGCCUUCACAUCAUUUGGCGCCAAGUAUGAUCGUGCCUUAACAAAGAAUACAAGGGUGUUUAUACUUUUCGGGUGCAAGGCCAGGUGUACCACUUAUUGAACAGUUUGGUCUCUCCCACUGAUCAAGCUACUGGUGUUCAACUCUAUUUCUACGAUCAGGAAGAGGAGUUGUAAAAAGAGUCGCUGGUUCGCCUAGACUACGUGAAAGUACCCUCAAAUUGUUGAUGUGUAUUCUUGAAGCUAAUCCAUACACUAAAUUUUUCAAAGGCCUUCGAGAUGUUCCUGAUCUAGACAACCAUAGGAUUGUUCUCAACUCUGAUCCUCGGUUGGAUCAGCGUGUGUACAAUGUGCCUACUUCGUCCCAAGUUGCUGCCAUUUGGACAGAGAAUGAGGAUGAAGCACUUGAAAAAGGUGCUCAUAUUCAGGUUUAUACACAUUCGAAUGUGAGUCAUAGGAUACCGCAUUAUUUUGCGUCCUAUGAUCCAUUACAGUACCCUCUCUUAUUUUCUCGGGGUGAACCUGGUUGGCAUUAUGGCAUCCCAAAAAGUACUGACCCUAAUGAAAAAAACAAAGAGGCUGACGAUGAUGAUGAUGUCAUGCCUAAUUUUUCCUUAGUUGGGAGUGCAUUAGGCUUGAUUCAACAGUAACACGCAGGCAAGUCUUCUUACUCCGUUUCUGAUUUUUUUUCCCCAGCCACGUGUUAAAUGAAGUGUUACCUAAGUUUCUUAUUCUACUUUUCCCUUUUACGUCUUGCCAUGUAGCUGCUGAGAGUGGGAAAAAACAGCAUGAUACUAUUUCUGCGAGGGAGUACUACUGUUACUUACUUCAGAUGAGGGAAAAUGAUAGAUCAAUGUUGUUGCACACAAGGAGGCUGUUACAGCAAUUUGCUGUUGAUAUUUAUGUGAAGAUCGAAACAUCUAGGCUUGACUUCCAUAGAAAGAAUCAAACUAAUAUUAGGACUGAGAUUCUACAAGGUGUAAUGGAUAGUCUAUCUGCUGGUCACACCGAAGGAAAAAAUGUCGAUCGUCGAGGUUAUCUCCCAGCUUCUUUCAUUGGUGGUCCAAGGGACAUGCGCCGUAGAUAUGUUGAUGCGAUGGCAUUAGUCCAGAAAUUUGGUAGGCCGAAUCUUUUCAUUACCAUGACAUGUAAUACGCAGUGGAGAGAAAUCCAAGAAAAUCUCAAAUAUGGAGAAGAUGCGCAGGAUAGGCCUGAUUUAAUGUCAAGAGUGUUUAGAGCAAAAUUUGAGCUGCUCAAGGCUGAAAUAGUAAAAAAAAAUAUUUUUGGGGAGGUUGCUGCGUGUGUUCAUGUUAUUGAGUUCCAGAAAAGGGAUCUCCCUCAUGCUCACCUCUUAGUCAUCCUUAAGCCAGAAUUUAAACCAUUGAACUCUGAUUCUUAUGAUCAGAUUGUGUCUGCUGAGAUUCCAGAUCCAGAGAAACAGAGCUAUUUGUACAAUCUUGUCAUCAAGCAUAUGAUGCAUGGACCAUGUGGAGUUCUGAAUAAGGACAAUGUUUGCAUGAAAGAUGGGCUCUGUAAAAACCAUUAUCCAAAAAAUUUUAGCGAAUUCACAGUCCAUACUGAGGAUAGCUACCCGCAUUAUAGAAGGCGGAAUAAUGGACGAUCUGUAAGGGUGCGUAAUAGCAGCCUAGACAAUCGAUGUGUUGUGCCAUAUAACCCAUUCUUCUUGCUCUCUUUGACUGUCACAUGAACGUCGAAAUCUGUUCGACGGUUAAGUUGGUCAAUUAUUUGUAGAAAUAUGUCUAUAAGGGUCACGAUCGUGUUAGCUUCCAUAUUUAUUCAGAAAAUAACCCUGACGACAUAGAUGAAAUAAAGGAUUUUCAAGCUGGGAGGUAGGUAGCUGCUGCUGAAGCUUUUUGGCGUAUUUAUAGGUUUAAUCUGAAUGAAAUGACUCCUGCUGUGUAUACUCUUCAGUUACAUCUUCCAGGUCAGCAAAUGAUCUCUUUUCAUAAAAAUACGAAUCUUGCUGAUCUCUUAGAUCGAGUCGAUUUUCCCAAGACAAUGCUGACAGAGUUGUUCCGCAUGAAUAAAACCAACAAACAAGCUCAAAAUCUUAAAUGCCUGUACCGUGACUUCCCAGAAUUUUUUGUCUGGAAGGCUGCUAGGAAAAGAUGGACUGAACGGAAGAGAAAAAGAGUCAUUGGUCGUGUUGUUACUGUUGCUCCAAAUGAGGGAGAGCUACUACUUGCGACUUCUCUUAUCUCAUGCUCGUGCUCCCACGUGUUUUGAAGAUCUCUUGACUGUUAAUGGAAAGCUUAUGAUUUCUUAUAGAGAAGCUGCCUUCCAAAUGGGACUUCUUCAAUCAGACACACAUUUGGAAGACACGCUUAAUGAAGCAGCUGCCUUUCAGAUGCCCUCUUCAUUAAGAACUCUCUUUGCAAUCUUGUUAGCCUAUUGUUCGCCAAGCAAUCUUAGAGUCCUGUGGGAAAAAUAUGAAGCUGUAAUGUCAAGCGAUUUUGAGAGAGCUAAGAGUUUUUCUGUUCGAACUGUUGAACACAUAAGAAGAUGUGUUUUGCUGGAUAUAAAUAAAUCCUUGGAACAAAUGGGAAAAAUGUCAAUGACUACCAUUUGGUACCUGAUGAUUUCAUUCUCAGUCAAGAUGAGCGCCUCACAAGAGAAAUUCAGAGUAAGCUAAGCAUACAAUUUACAGAGCAGGACUUGUUAUUACCUUCACAGCUAAAUAUAGGCCAAAGAUAUGCCUAUGAUGUUAUUCUACGAGAGGUUUUCUCCUCUGGCAAUACCAGUUUCUUUGUUGAUGGACCCGACGGGACUGGUAAAACCUUUCUUUAUCGCUCUAUUCUGGCAACGCUUAGAUCUCAAGGAUUCGUAGCAAUAGCUGUUGCAUCAUCUGGAGUAGCUGCAUCUAUUCUUCCAGGUGGGAGGACCGCACACUCAAGGUUUAAAAUCCGUUGGAUAUAUUUCUGCAGCAAAGUCUGUCAUAUCAGCAGACAGAGCUCUAUUUCUAAGCUUAUUAUAAUGGCUAAAUUAAUUCUAUGGGAUGAAGCUUCUAUGGCCAAGAGGGACACGAUUGAAAUUUUUGACAGGUUGCUGAGAGAUGUAAUGGAUUCUGAUCUACCCUUUGGUGGCAAAGUAGUAGUAUUUGGGGGAGACUUUCGUCAAACUUUACCUGUAUUUCAGAAUGCAACAAAAGAUCAGCAAAUAGAAGCCAGCUUUGUCAACUCACCUUUGUGGAGUACUCUUCGGAAGUUAAUCUUGACUGAAAACAUGAGAGCUAUCUCUGAUGGCCACUUCUCUGAUUUCCUGCUAAGGAUAGGCGAAGGUUGCGAACCAGAAGACGAUGAUAGAAAGAUAACUCUAUCAAAGGAUAUAUCAAUCCCUUUUGAUAACAGAGAAAGUUCACUAAACAGGUCAAAUUUCAUUUUUCUUUUCAGGCUCCGUCAUUACUUUGUUAAUGUACAUCAGAUUUAUUAAAUGUGUUAUCUUACCGAAAUUGUUUGUUAACCAGGUUAGUGAAUUUUGUGUUUUUCGGAUUUGAGCGUGUAUUCAUCUGAUCCAUACUAGAUCACAAACAAAUGUAUUCUUACUCCAAAGAAUACGUGUGUUUGAUGAUAUAAAUGAGAUGAUGAUUGACCGCUUUUCUGGAGAACCUUUUGUGUAUAUUGAGCAUUGAUCAAACUAUUAAUGAGAGGGAUCAAUCUGACUACGAAGACUUUUUAAAUUCUUUGAAUCCCAAGGGUCUGCCCCCUCAUAAAUUGGUGCUAAAGGAAGGUUGCCCAAUUAUUCUUCUUAGGAAUUUGAAUCCUGCAGAAGGCUUAUGCAAUGGAACUCGGCUUAUAUGUAGACAGCUAAAGCAGCAUGCGAUUUGUGCAGAGAUUGCAGUUGGUCAGCAUCGAGGAAAAAGAGUUCUUUUACCAAGGAUACCUCUCCAAACAUCAGACAAUGAAAAGAAUGGAGUUCCUUUUAAGCGAACCCAGUUUCCCAUCAGACUUUGCUUUGCUAUGACGAUUAACAAAUCGCAGGGACAGACUUUGGAUCGUGUGUUGAUUUACGAGAGAGCCUGUGUUCUCACAUGGCAAGCUAUAUGUUGCGCUAUCUCGUGCUAGGACAUCGUCUUCUAUUAGAGUUUUAAUAUUACUGGAACAUUCAGUGAUAUUAUAACUGAAUUCAAGACAAGAAAUGUUGUAUUCCAUGAAAUUUUUAGUUUGUCUAAGAAAUAAAUCUUACGUUUAAAGUGUACGUAGUACUCAUGCAUAACUGAAACUUUAUAUGAAGCUAUCCUUUUUAUGCAGCCUUUUCUCUGUCAUUCCUGUUAAAGACAGAUUUGAUAGUUUUGUUUCUUUGUUUGUUCCAGUAUGGCAAAUACAUUGUAUAUUGAUGAUGUUGUGCCUGGAAUGAAGUCUUGGACAGCUGAAGUAAUAGUUCAAGAAAAGUUGAACCCAGGAUCUUCAACUUCCACACCAACCAGAUUCCAGAGACUUAUUUUUGUUGACUCAAAGGUACAUUUCUAUUCAUUCUCUUUCAGUUAACAUGUCCAUUGCCUUUGUUCACCCCUAAUCAUUAUUGCUGUACGUUUUAUUUAUAAUUGGUCAGCCUCUAUUUUAUUUAUACUUGAUCAGCCUCUAUUUAUAUGCAUUUGCGUUUGAUACAGGGUUCAAGAGUUCAAGGGAUUCUUUUUAACUAUGCUAUUGAAAAAAUGGGGCCAAAGUUUCAACUUUUCAAGAAAUAUCGUAUCUCAAAUGCUGAAGUGAAGAAAAUUCCAGAGAAAUUUAGAACUGAUGGAAUUGAACUCCAAUGGAUUAUAGGAACACAGACUGUUGUUGAGGAAAUUGAAAGUGAAGGAAACAGUGUCUUGCCGCUUCAAUUCAAGCUUACACCAUUUAGGGAAUUUGCUCGUUAUGCAGAUUCAAAGACUGAAACUGUUGGUCAGUUUGGCCUUUAAUCUAAUGUUGAUUGAAUUUUGAUGCUGUGAUUUAUAGAUCUCUGACUUAAACUCCUACUCAGUAAAAUUUUUUGCUUUCAUUUAUGAUACUUUGUCUACCUUUACUACUAUCUUUCUUCAAAUUACAGAUGUUCUUGGUAUUGUUAUUGAUGUCCAUUCUGUCAUCCCAAUCAACAAAGACUCGAAGGAAUCAUUUGUCAAUGAAGAGUAUGGACUAUUUUUUUCCCAAUUAUUCCCUGUUGUGCACUACAUAAAAUUAUGUCCUCAAGCUUAUGUGCUAUGAAAUCAGUUUAAAAGGUUACGUUUUACUGUUUCUUAUGUAGGAUGAAUCCAAUGAUAUUAUCUUUUUGGAACGACUUCAUUGAGAAUGAGGGUAAGACUAUCACUGAACAGAAGGACAACUAUCCAGUUGUGAUAGGUCGCAGACUCAAGGUUGUUACUUAUGGAGGUGAGGCCUAAUAGAAGUUAAGUUUUUGAUAAUUUAAUUCUAUGUGUGUUUAUUCAUUCCUAUUCUAACUGUAUUUACCUAUCAGGAAUCGCCCUAUCAACAAGAAAUGAUUAAGUUAUUCUUGUGAAUCCACCAGUUAGAGACACCAACCAACUCAAACACUGGUCUCACAAUGUUUAUUUGAUAUGUACUUUCCUUUUUUUUUCUCGCUAGGAUAGGUUACUUGACAUUCAUUACUGCAUUUAUUCUGCAAUGAACUUUAUAGGGCUGUCAGAAAUGAAAAGAGUUUCUCUACUCUUGUUCAAAACAAGUCGUACAGCAAUUAUAGUCCCAGAAUGUUUUAUGAUCUAAACCACAAAAUUACCUCGCUUGUGGAUAUUACCCCAGCUCAAAAGGUCAUGACUUGUUUAUUGCUGGAUUCAAUUCUUCAAAUGAUACAACUGUGUUAUUUUCCUGAUCUGUUUAUACAUAUAUAUACACCUAAAUAUUCCUCUAAUCUGUUUACAAAUUUCUGUAGGUGGCGUGGGUUAAGGCUUGCUUUUCUUUUGAACAUAUACUGCAGAAGUAUUGGUAUAUGUCUUGUAUUAAAUGUUACCGGAUGACAUCAGCAAACUAUGAUUCAGUUUACAUAUGCAACCACUGCAAUGAGAAACAUAGAGCUGUACCAAGGAAAUUAGCACUUUUGUUCAUGAGCUAUUAUUGUUCUAAAUAACAUUGACUUUCUUGAAUUUACUGACUUAUUUCUGAAGUACAUAUUGAUGCAGAUGUCGUUUCGAUGUUGAUCUUACUGAUGAAACUGACACAGUCACAGCUUCAAUAUUUGACGAACUAGCAGAAUCGCUACUUAAAUUCACUGCACUUCAAGCACUGGAGCACUAUAACAAGGUCGAAAUUACGACUACCUUUGCCUAACUUUGUAUUAAAUGCAUGCAAAUUAUCAUACUAAUACACAUUGAUGGGGUUAUUUAACAGAAUGAAGAAUUCCCACUGGAAACUGUGCAUAGAGAGCUUAAAGAAAAGAUGUUCAUUGCCCAACUGAAGCCAGGAAAUACAAAGGAUGGUAGUGGAAAUCACCGUUACACAAUUGCUUAUUACUUUGAAGAAAAUGCAGCAACAUCUUCUUUCAACAAAGAUUCCUGCGUCAAUGUUCAGAAUCAGUUUCUUCAAACUGAAGCACAGAACUCAGAAGCUGGUUCUUCAGGUUCCUUUUUUUACAAUCUUGUUUUCCAUUCCUCUUGUUUGCUUUAUUAACAUUGCUUGUUUUUUCAUUCUAGAGGGACAACGAUCUUCUUCAAAACCACGAGUUCGCCUCACAAGAAGGUUUAGAGAUGCUGGAGAAAUAGAAGAAGAACCUACAGAAGUUGAUGACUCUUGCAACAACAAAAAAACAAAAACUGUCUGAUCUUUCCUUGUCUAUGCUACUCUAUUAAGUUGCAUUAGUGCAGUUACAGAUCUUUUGAAUACUGUCAGGAGUAGACAAGCUCGAGCUGAUGCAAAGCUUGUGUUUUGUUGAAACUUAUAUGUGUCCCUUGCGUUCCAUUUAGAUGCUUUUGCUUGGAAGGCUGACAUCUUCUACAUUGUUGUUAGCAAUGAAUUUUAUACUGUGUACCUCCCGAAUGCUUAUUAACAUAUGGUAUAUUUAUCCGUUUAUUCAUCAGCGCACCUAGCUUUUGUAGCCAUGUAACACAUUGAUUGCCAUGAUUCUGUAUGUGUAACGAACUGUUCUAUCAAUUUGCUACACAAUUUGACAACUGAAAGUACUCUCAUACAGAUGCAUUUUGUUUGAAGCGAGCUCUUUUUUAAUCUACCGCACCAGCCAGUUUCAGAAUUCCAAACAAUUAGACCGCAUUUACAUUUAAUGCAGACUUUCCUUUUUUCUUCAUACUUUCUUACAGUAAUCGACUUUUAAUCUAUGUUGUACUCUUAAUAUUUAAUCCAAACACGCGAUCAUCAUCUAUAUAAACCCUUCAUAAUCCCAUCUAAAUGGGCAUUCAUGCAGGUUACUCCACCGCGCAACGCCGCGGUUAUACCUCCUAGUAUAGUAUAAGAAUACAAGUUAUAAUAGUCUUUGUGUUGCUAUAAUGACCUAAACGACCUCAAUUAUCUAUUAGUCUCUGUUCCUUCUGCGUUUUUUUCCUUUUUUUUUGUAGAUAUCCUUAUCAAUCUGUGUCCUUCUAUUUCACAAAACGUAAGUGUAUAGGAUAUUUAUGAGUAAGAGAGAUGUGAAUAUAUAUAAUUAAUAGAAAUCAUUAGGAUAUUUAUAUUGGAUUCCCAUAAUCAUAACAUAACACUCAACUGAUUCAACUUCUUUUUCUUUACUCUCACUUUAAAGUAUCAAAGUUGAGGAGCUUAUCAAUUAGAAUUAUACUCCUUCCUGAUUAGUUCCUCUAAAACAUUUCCUUUAAUUAUCAAAACUUGUUUCUUUAUAACCUCCUCUUUCCUUCCAUUCCUUUCACUUUAAUACCCAACUAUUGACAUGACAAAAUUCAAAUGCAAAAUUUCUACCUAUAGCUUGUAAUUCCAAUUUAGGGGAGUAAUUUAUUCUAAUUUUGGCUUCACAGUUUCUAGACUUCAAAUGUAAAUCUAUGAUUAAUUAAUUUUCGCUCCAAACUUCAUAUUUACUAUUUCUUUAGUCUUAGCAUAACUAUUAUCAACUUUAUUCAAAUGAAGAACAAUACUUGGAAACUUACUCAAGUUGUCAAAAAUCCAACGACUCGCUCACAAUUGGAGCACUAUUAUUCAAGUGAUUGAAAAAUGAAAAACCAUAGUACUCAGAAGAUGCAAAAUGCUAUCCAAAAUUGCUCUUCGCCAAUGGUUAGGUAAUGUACAAAAAUCCCAACCAUACAAAAUAAACUCUAUCUUUUCUUAUUCCUACUUUGAUCACUAUUAGCCCAAUCAUUGACAUGUAUCAUUUCAGCUUAUAUAUUUAUAUCAUUAUUCCUUGUUUCUCAUUUUCAAACAAAUGCUUUAUGUUAGUUUUAAGAAAAAAUAAAGGUUCUAAUGUAGUGAAAAAAAGAUCUUAAUUUAUACAAGUAACUAACUUGAAUUUGUGAUAAUUUGUAAGAUAUAUAUGCUUCAACAAGUAGGAUAAAUUAUAUUUUUAUUUUUUAAUUAAUUCUUUCUUCAUUUGCUUUAUACAUGGAUUUAUCCAUAUUUUUUUAAUUCAUUCAAUAUCAUUAAGGAAUAUGUGAUUAUACCAUGGAAAACUCAUUUAUCUUUGUUAUGUAAUAAAUAUUAUGUGCUAAUUGAGAAAGUUUUAGCCAAUGAGUUGUCUGGUCAAAUUUUAUACCUAACAUUUUCUUCUAAUACAUUGUCACUGUACAGGGACAAAAUGUUGAAGCCCUAAUUUAUUGUAUAGAUAUAGAAUAUUUGAACAAAUUUUUGACACCUAUAAAAUAUACUACAUCUCUAAUGCAAAAGUUCAACCCAUUUUGACCAUAAGUUCCACACAAAAAAAAAUGAAAUAUUCAUGGAUCAUUAACACCACAACUAUUAUCCAACAAUUGUAAGAAAUUAACAGGCCACUCUCAUUUCAGAUGCCUCCAUCUCCCACCUUAAUAGAAAUUACAAAAUAUGUAUGAUCCAAAUUUUCCUUCAAAAACUAACAAGUAUGCCUCUUAAAUAACGCCAUUAAUAAAUUCAUAUGUUCAAACUUUCCUACAAUUGCUAUUCACAAUCAAUCACAACCUACAAUAGCAGAUCUACGUACCACCAGACAAAUCAUCAUUGUUGAUCAACUGUUUGACUAACACCUUUCCAAUUAAUAAAAUGCACUAUAAAUAUAUUCUCAUCAACAAUGUUACACAAUUAUCAACUAAUAGCACUAACUCUUUGACAUGUAUAUGACAACAAUGAGAACCAACCAAUAGUUGACAUUGCUCUCUCCCCGACACAAGCAUCUUACGACAUUAAAUAUUACAAAUAUUACAAAAAUUACAAAUAUUCAAGAUGGAUUAUUACACUCAGAAAUAGCUUCUAAUAAAAUAUUCAAAAAUUUUGCAGCUCUCAACCUAUCUAUAAGAUUAGAGACAACCCAAGGAAAGACACUACUACAAUAGAGAUUACCAUCUACAAUAAAAAGUUAAAUUUAACAGGCUACUACUUUAACUUCAUACAAAUACGAGAGGCACUAUGAAAGAGAUUUAUGAAUUCCGCUUUUAUCUAAUAUUCCAUUUUUAUAUAGUUUAAUAUACAGUUACACUUAAUCUUCUAAUAGUAAUAGUUCUCUUUUUCUUAUUACAAAUUACACUUCUUUACUAUUACACCAAACAAAAACUAUAAGGUAUCUUAAACCAUAGGUGCUAAAUUCCCGUGUGAUACAUGGGCUCUCCCUCUACUUUUUCUAAAGAAAAGUUACUUUGGCAAAAGACUCUUUGUUUUUUUUUUCAAAAAAAUAAGGUUAUACAAUUAUGGGACCAAUGCAAGAGAUUACAAAAGAUUUUGAUUGUUCUUGUCCGCUUUUAUUAUCCCUUAUUACAUUUUGCCACUUUUCUAGUUGGAUUGAAAUCUAUCAUAAAACAAAAGUUCAAAAUGAAAACAAAUAAUCAUCAUGGAAACAUAUCUUUACGAGUAAUUAAUUCCACAGUACGUUGGGAUAUCAUUUCAUUAGUUAAAUAAUUAUUAGUUAGACAUAUGUUAAGUAAAUGAUUUGAUUACAUUGAGAUAGCUAGUACACUAUCCUAACAUCGGUAUAAAAUUCCCCAACCUUUUGUCACAUUAAAUCUAAUUAGAAAAAGGAAAGUAAAAAAAAAAAACAUAUCUUGAGAAAAAAAUCCCAGAUUUAUAGCUUUAAUCCAUAUCAUGCAAAUGGAUUAGAUACCAAGCCGAGUAUCUAUGAGAUUUUACCCUAUCCAUUAUUAUUUGUUAGCCUCCUACCUAUUGUUAGCACUUAAGAAAAUCAUAUCAUGAGAACAGAUAAAAGACAAAAUAGAUUUGAUGUUCUUGGUGGUUUGGUACGCUUUUAAAAAGAUAUCCAUAUAUUCUUGUAUUGAGAAAACUGAAAAUCCUAAGUACUUUUUUUGUGCACAAACACUAAAGGAUCUCAAAUUAACAAAAGAACAAACAGGUUUAGUUGCCUUAUAAAGGGAAAAUAGCUCUUGUUUCUAAAAUACCUUGUAUUUGGACUCUCUUCAUUAGUACGAGAAUGACCCGCUCAUCCUAUCGGUUGGACUCGCUCCACGAGAAGAACUUGCCACAUCCCUAUGCGAUGACUUGUAAGAAUAUUGCUGCCCUCUCCAUGUUUAGCCAUCCCAUCCCUAUGGAAGGGGCGAAGGACUCGCCAUACAACCGCUUGUAGGAAUACUGCUAUCCUCUCCAUGUCUACCAGCUCCAAAGGAGAACUCGCCACAUCCCUAUAGGUGGGGGAGGACUUGCCAUUUGACUUCUUGUAGGACUUGUAGGAAUAUUGUUGCCCUCUCCAUGUCUAACCGGGCCAUGUAAAUUACAAAAUGUAAUAAUAAUAAUAAUAAUAAUAAUUUGUAAAAUCCAUGCCAGCUAUUGUCACUGAAGUAAUAAUCUGUUAUAUAUUUUAAACAAUACCUAUUUGGUGAAUCAUGAGUUUGUGUUGCCCCAGCACCAUGAACAGGAGGUUCCCUGUAAUAAAGAAUAUCCACAAAAUCAAAAACAAUUUACAAUUGACUGUCACAAUCGACAAUCGACAAAUGUAGUACGUCUUAGACAAAGUACUCAUCUGCCAACCUCUUUAUCCAAUAUCAUCAUCAAAGAAAUACCAUAUCAUGCAUGCCAAGUUAAUGGCGGUUUCCACAAGAAAAGUCCAAUAUGUGCAAUUGAUAGUUUAUGUUCCUUUUGUCCCGCCUUAGUUAUAGUGAAACUGAUAGCCUUUGCAUUUAAAUUUGUUGCAGAAAAAAUAAAAAAAAUGUUCAUAAUAAAAUAUGGAAUGCAUAUUUAGUGUUAGUUCCUGGUCGCGCUUAGGAUUUUUUUUUAAAAUUUUUUUGGCAAACCCGAUAAACAUGUAAGUAAUCUUUCCAAAAGGUCACUUACAUAUAUAUAUAUAUAUAUAACAAGCCAAAUAUUAUGGAGUAACUAUCCAAAUUCAAAUGGGAUGUACCUGCCCCAUCUGUCUGCUAACGUGUCUUUCUCCUACUCUUAUACACUUUCAGAGAGGCCACACGUUGGGAAGCUCUAUCACCAGUAGUUAUAGAGGAACCGUACGAGAUCAACGAGCAUAUUAAUACUACCAUGUAAGCACUUGUUCACUUUUCACAUGUUGAAAUAGUUGUUGUGGAAUUGUUAUUUAAGUUUUAUGACUAAACAACUAACAGGGAAACUUAAAAUAAUAAUAACAAUAGCAAAAUGCUCUAAUGACCCUCAAACAGUUACGAAAUUUAAUUUUUGAUCCUCAAAUUAUUAAUUGAUAAGUUUUAGCUCUCCAAUUAAUUAAAACAUAUAAUUCAAGCCAUUCCAUCAACUUAAAUCGUUAUGUCUAUCCCUAAAAAGGUAGAGGAAAGAAAACACAUAAACAAAACAUAAACCACAAAAUUCAACAAUAGCAAGUUGUUAGGUCCUAGUACUAACUUAAUCGGUUCCAUUUGAUAAAACUGAAUCUGAAUUUUGAAGUCUGAAUUCUGAAAUUUGAAUACUGAAACAAUUAAUUUACUGAAUUUUAAGCACUGAAAAGAAAUAUAUAAAUCUCUGAAUUUUAAUACUAAAUCUAUUUAUACUAUUUAAUAAACAUUUAUAACUGAAUGCUUAAUAAGUUAAAUUUGACAAUUUUACCCUUAUAUCUUUUCAUCCAAAAAAGAAAUAGAACCUAUGAUUUAAUUAGUUUAAAAUUUUUAAGUAUAAAAAUGAUAAUAUUUAUUUUUAAAUCAAAUUAAUAUAAAAAAUGAAAUAUAUUAUAUGAGAAGUAUGGAGAAGAUGUGAAAGUCAUUAAAAUAGGAGAAAAGAGAAAUAGAAAAUCAUUAGAUAGAGAAUAUUACGUUGUUUAAUUAGAUAAGAAAUUUGAAUAUAAUUAACAAACAAUGGUAGAUUUGGUAGAUAAGAUAAGGUAGUUGACGUAAUUCUAUUGAUUAUUAUCAGAAUUAAGCAUUCAGUUAGAAUUCUUGUGCUAAAAAAAAUACACACAAGUUCAGCAAAUGAAUUUUCAUUUAUCAAACAGUCAAAACAUCUGAAUGUCUGAAAAAGUUCAGAUUCAGCACUUUUUUUAUGUUAUCAAACAAAAUCUGACAUGAUAUCUUAGUACCCUGAGAACGGCAUUGGUGAAAAACAAACAUGGCUCUCUCAUAUGAUCUUCAUAGUCAUAUAGAACAAAACAAGUUUCUGACUGGCUCUAACUUGGUGUAGUAUGAAUCCACAAUUCCACGGGGCAUAUACAUCUUUGGCUCAUAUAGUUGUUCAGUUUCCCAUGCUUUAGCCAUUUCUGCGCAAGCCAAUACCAAUUAAACAUUGAAUUCAAUUAAACCUUUUCAUUUCACUUAUAGAUAAACAAGAAGAAAUAAGACAUACCAUAUACCACUCACAAAAUAAAGAAAAAAUCUAAAUAAAAAUUUAUCAAACGAAUAAGGAAAGUAGGAAGAGCAAAAGUUUUUGGAAUUCACCAACCACCACGUACGGCUAAAAUGCUAAAUCAAUCAUAUCUUACUGCUCAAAGUAUUGUUGUGUACUUCUGUUACGUAGAGUAGUAAAGGUGUAGGAGAAAAUCAACUCAAUCAGGAGCUGCUAGACUUGAGAAAGCAACUCGAGAAAGAGAGGCAAUAUUAUUGAAGAUUCAGGAGAAUGAAUAAAAACAAUACUAAUUUUCAGAUUGUUCUACACCCUUGUUGCUCGUCCCUUUUAUACAAGAAUUACAAGUAUUCCUACCACCGCUUUUCUAGUGCUGCAAUUCAGCUCUAACUGAUUUGAUUCUUGCUAACUUUCAUUAGGCUACAAUCGCUACUACUUUACUAUGUUUUUUUUUGUUUUGGGGGGAGGAUAUUAUACAACGCCAUUAAUAAAGUAAUAUAACUAAUGCAAAACGGGAAAAAAAAACACUAAGAACUGAGAUGUGUGCAUAAUAAUUACAAGGAUAAAAGGAGUAAGAGGAUGAUCGUCGUUAAAAGGAUUGAUCCAAAGAUGUGAACUGCAACUUGUUCGGAGAUAUUGAGAUUUUCUAGAGUGAACAACCUCAUUUUUAUACUAAAACUUAGCUGACAAAGAAAAACACAGUUUUGGUUUAGAUCCGUAUGACUUUAGUUUAAUAUUGGAAAAUAAGUUAUUCGAAACAUUGAUGAAAUAUUGAUUUUAGAGCAAAUUAUCCGUUUGGCCAUUAAACUUUUGCAAUCGUCGAGUUUUGGUCACUCAACUAUUAAAAGUCUGGUUUUGACCACUCAAAUGUAUAAAAGCAAGACGCAAGGUCAUUCUUUUAGAUUUAGUCGUUAACUUUGCUGAUCUGUCCGUUUGUGCGAUUUUCAAUACAAAAAGCAAGAUCAAUUUAGGAAGUUGAAAAUAGAUCUUCAAAGCCGCAAUCAAGUCCAAUUCAAUUAAGCCAUAUUCAUGCCUUGGCUCCUGGAACUUCUCCGACGACUCUUACUUCAUUCCUCGGGCUUAUUUCUCCUACGGUCUUUUAUGCAGUGGCAACAGUGUAACCCAGCUCACCCUCAACCCGGCUGAUUAUGCCGGCACCCUGACUCCACUCAUUUCUAAGAUCGCUCAGCUCGUCACGCUCGACCUGUCAACCAACAAAUUCUCCGGCCCAAUCCCUCCGCGCUACUCCCUAACCAAUCUGCAAACUCUUGUACUUCGAUUCAACUCCUUCUCCAGUAUAGUCCCACCCUCUUUAACCGCGCUUAAAUCCCUCGAUACGGUUGAUUUCUCUCACAAUUAUCUUUCGGGAUCGUUGCCCAACUCGUGGAGCUCGAUCGGCAGCUUGAGAAGGCUUGACCUGAGUUACAACAAACUCAUCGGUUCACUCCCCAAGCUCCCGCCAAACCUCAUUGAGCUGGCGAUCAAAGCCAAUUAUCUGUCCGGGCCGCUUUACAAGACUUCAUUCCAGGGAUUAACUCAAUUGGAGGUUGUUGAACUCAGCGAGAACUCGUUUCCCGGGACACUUGAAACUUGGUUUUUUCUCUUGCCUACUUUGCAGCAGGUGGACUUGGCGAAUUACAGCUUCACGUGGGUCGACAUCUGGAAGCCUAAGAAUGGGAACAGCAACCUGGUGGCCGUCGAUCUGGGAUUUAACAGAAUCGAAUGGUAUUUGUCCGUAAAUUUCGCGGCGUAUGCUCUGUUGUCGUUUCUGUCAUUGCGUUACAACCGGUUUCGUGGAUCAAUCCCUUGAGAGCUUUGAAGAUCUAUUUUCAACUUCCUAAAUUGACAUGUUUUUUGUAUUGAAAAUCGCGUAAACGGACAGAUCAGCAAAAUUAACGACUAAAUCUAACAGAAUGGCCUCGCGUCUUGCUUUUAUACAUUUGAGUGGUCAAAACUAGACUUUUAAUAGUUGAGUGACCAAAACUCGAUGAUUGCAAAAGUUUAAUGGCCAACCGGAUAAUUUGCUCUUAAUUUUAACCUGUCAAACUUCAUUAAAUAUUUGUUUGGAUUGGUUUAAACUUGUUAGGAUCUAGACGAGGAAUAAAUAACUAUUGAGAUAUCAAGUGCAUAACAAUUUAAUGAGAAACAAGUCACAAACAUGAAAGAUAAACGACACACAAUAUUUAACGUGGUUCGAUUCCAUCAUUGAGCCUACGUCCACGGAUAGAAAUCUGUUCUUUAUUAUGAGAGGAAAACUCUAUACAAGAAUACAACUUGAACCCAAACCCAACCCUUGUAUACCAUCUCUCAUCUCCCAAGAAUCCUCUCACACACCCCAUGUAUAACGCUACAUGAUGUCCCUUGUGUCUCUUUGUGUGUCUUUUGUGUAGUAUGCCAACCCACCUAUUUAUAGAGAACAUUAUUGCCAAAAAAUCAAAUAACAAUUGGAAACCAAUACUAUUUCCUAAACUCAUAUAGAGUAGAAAAUAGUAUCUAAUUCUAGCUAAAUAAGGCUUUACUUGACUGCUAUUUCAAGUAACUAAAUCCAAUUAGGAAACUAGUUACUUCCCACACCAAAUAAGAAAUCUAUCUAAAAGAAUUUAAUCCAAUUUUUUAACAAAUCUCCACCUUGGUGAAAAUUUCUUUUAGCAACCAUUUGCCUUCAACUACCAAAUAAUAUGGUACCAAACUACACAUCCGAAUCAAUACAGUUCUGACACCAAAUUGAUUCAAUCGGCAAAUGAACAUGUGUAGUUACCCGAGUCCAACCUCCAGUUGACUCGUGAGAAUGUGCCUCAAUUCACCAUUUUCCUUUGCAGGAUUUCUUCUCACCACCACUUGUAAUCUGGGAUCCCCUUAUGUGAGUUCUAACCCUAACCAUUGAGGUAAUCAAGUGGUAAAAUCAUCAUAUUUCUUCCCAUCCUCAGGACUGUCUCGCCACGUGUGGUUUCCAAAACUCCACCUAAAACGAAAAACUCGUACCUGUCAGAGUCUUCUAGCGCAUAGAAAUUAGAUCUCCUUGUUUUUUUAGGACACAUGUCACACCACCCAAAAAACAUAACCAAAAUCUAAAAUCCACCAGGAUGAAAUAUCAACCGUUGGAGGUGUGAGAAAGUCUCCACCGAUUCACGUCCAAAAUCAACAUUGGACUCCACCUUUUUCUUGACCCUUGAAUCACCUGCCUAGAUUCACCGUCAAGCAUCUCCAUACUUGUCGACUUUUUAUCCUUCACCAUCAAUGCUUUUUGCCAAGCCAUUGAAACAAGGAUACCAUUCAUUAAAUUGUUCAAUUAGUAACAACUACCAAUCCACUUGAUCUUAAUAGUUAACUAGGAUCCAACUACGAACGUUGAGCAGGCCAGUCUCGCAACCAAACUCUGAUACCACUUGUUAGGAUCCAGACGCGGAAUAAAUAACUAUUGAAAUAUCAAGUGCAUAACAAUUUAAUGAGAAACAAAUUACAAGCAUGAAAGAUAAACGACACACAAUAUUUAACGUGGUUCGACUCCAUCAUUGAGCCUACGUCCACGGAGAGAAACAUGUUCUUUAUUAUGAGUGGAAAACCCUAUACAAGAAUACAACUUGAACCCAAACCCAACCCUUGUAUACCAUCUCCCAUCUCCCAAGAACCCUCUCUCACAUCCCAUGUAUAAGGCUACAUGAUGCCCCUUGUGUCUCCUUGUGUGUCUUUUGUGUAGUAUGCCAACCCACCUAUUUAUAGAGAACAUUAUUGUCAAAAAACCAAAUAACAAUUGAAAACCAAUACUAUUUCCUAAACUCAUAUAGAGUAGAAAAUAGUAUCUAAUUCUAGUUAAAUAAGGCUUUACUUGACUACUAUUUCAAGUAACUAAAUUCAAUUAGAAAACUAGUUACUUCCCACACCAAAUAAAAAAUCUAUCUAAAAGAAUUUAAUCCAAUUUCCUAACAAAACUAGUGGAAAGUGAGAAUGACAAGGGAAAUAUAAUAUAGUUUUUUUUGGGGCUAGAAUGUAGAGUUAUACUAGUUUAAAUCUUUUUUAGUUUUUAACUUUUCCUAACCAAAACAUAGAAACUGAAUCUUCAAAGGAGUUAGCAAACCAAUGUGUCCAGAUUUACUCAAGAAUCAUAAAAUCGGCCUAAUACUUAUUUAUCAACAUAAAUAAGUAUACCAUCACUCGAUAUUAACUUAAAUAAGUUGGCUACAAUGUUAUGCUCACCUACACACACACACAAAAACAAUGUUGUGCUCAUCUUUUCUAUACAUGGUUGGAAAACGUGGUUGAUUAAGUGGUGAUAAGUUAUUUUAUGCAAAACAUUUUUUAAUUUGUAGAAACUUUGUAGUUCCCAUAAUUUUUAAUAGCAUUUAGUACCAUUUUUUGAGUGGAAAGCUUCUCUUUUGAGCCAUAGUUACAAUGAAGAAAAUACCAAAUUUGUUGCAUUGUCUAGUUCUAUUAUUUAUUAAGGUGAAAUGUACAUUUUAUCCAUAUUUAAAAAAUAAUCAUUUUUUUUCUUUUUUUUUUUUUGAACUUUUUUAAGUGACAAGUUUUGAAUUCAAAACCUCUACUUAUAAACUCGCUCACCUUAGUACCUUACUAUCCAAUCCAACACUCCGUCCCUCCCUCCCCCUUUGUGUUUGUUGGUUAAGACUUAAGAGUGGAGGUGCUUUUGUCAAAUGAAUGGAACUUGGAAAUUUGAGAAAUUUGGAUCUCAGUUUUCAAAAAGCCAAUUGCUAGUACUCACGCGAUUUUGCAUUGGACACAUAAAUAAGCUUCCCUUGAUUCUUAAUUUAGAUCUUGAAACUGACACUUUCUACAUAUGUGCCACCCCAAAAUGUUCCGAGAUGAAACGGAGGAGGCAUUUGAGAACUGGGCAGUCACUUUGUUUUAUGGAUCCCUUGGGGAAGUUGUCGAGUCUUUUCCAUUAACGGUGAAAAAAAGUAUAUGUAAAUUAACUCUCCAGGCCAAACAACCUUAUGCAAUGCUUAUGUUUCACGCUCCUGCAAUUUGCAAAGAACUGUGCCUUGUGCAGAUACAUGCCAUUAACGAACAGCAGUGAUCGUGAGAAUGAACGGUAUCAACAUGGGUUCUACAUAUGAAUAAACGGAAGGAAUUGCAACACCAGCUAAUAUGUCACAACAUUUAUCUGCACUGAUUGCAGAACUUCCAAUAUACACUGCUACAUGAGUUCCCUAAAUUUGACUCUGCUACGUCAUGAUGCGAAGUAAAAGCUGUACAUGGAGUGCUUAUUCCUGUACAACUAGCAGGAUACUAAUGCGACAUCAAAACUGGGACAAUGAUACAACAUCAAAACUGGUUAACUCGGCCUCUUGCACGAUGAGACUAACCUACGGCCUAAGGGACAGGUCCAUGUCAUUAACAUCUACGAACUGAGUGCUCAAUGAAGCACAGUCACAAGUCAAGAACACUACCCAGAAAAUUGGUUGUUGGCCCUCAAUGGGUUCAUUUAUGUUACUUCUGAUGCAUGACGCAGUCACAUUACAGACAAAGUAGGCUGUAGAAAACAAGAGGUAUAAAUGCAUUAUCAAGCUGUGCUGUAUAGGCCUCCAACAGCCCGCUAGUGGUCACUGCAACAAGUAGAGAAAACCAGUGCUGCACAACACAAACACGGAGAAGUAUGGUAAACCAAAUGGACUAUUAUAGUUAUCUGAAAUAAAAAAACUCAAAUCAUCAUGAUCCAUUCAACUUUCUAUAGAAACAGCUAAAGGAAAGUGGACAUGAACUGAAGCUGAUGAGGACUACGGAAACAUUAGAUAAUUCUUAAUCAUCAUCAUAUGAGAGAGAGAGAGAGAGAGAGAGAGAGAGAGUGAGACCUGACUAAAAAUGUACCCAGUUGUAGCUAAAAGGGGAAGCAGCACAGAACAUGCGACCAAGACAGAAGUUAUACCAGCUGCAGUUCCUUCAAUUGUUUUCUCUGACAAGGAGAGAAUAUAAUACCCUAGUUUACAGAUAAAAGAAGAAUAAAACAUGAAAAAAUUUGAAUGAGCACUUACUGCCAGUUUUGCUCCAUCGUAGAACCCCAUACUUGUGGCCAACCAUUGAAGCCUAAAGGGAAUUUUAAGUAACAUAGUCAGGAACAAAACAUUCUAGCAGGCUUGCCAGAAUGUCAGAGGUAACAAAGUUCCAUAGCCAAAUGUCGAACAGCAAGUUUAGCAAAUGAAUUUGAAAAAAAAAUGGAGAGAUAGAGGAUAGAUGCCAAACAAUUUAUGUCAAGGAUUUAACUACAUAACUCGAUCUUGCACUUGAACAUUCUAAACCAAUAAUUUAGGUUUAUUUUUUAUUUUUUGGGGUUGUGGGCAGUGUUGAGUGGGAAGCAAGUGAAUGUUACUCCAUUUAGUCAAGAAAUGUACCCUAAUUCAACCAUUUAUUAUGUGAAGCAUUGCUUUAUAUUAGAAAAAUGCCUGCCUACAAAUGCCCUUACGUGAAAGCUUGCUCUAUUUCUACAAAUUCAUGGCCUACUCUCAAAUGAACCCCAAUUUCAUGUAUAAAUCUAUAUCAACUGGCAAAAACUUAUAAUAGCAAGAAGUAGGUUGCUCAAAUUAAGUACCACAAACUCGUUAGGAGAAUAUAAAAAAAUCUUAUGUGGAUAUAGCAAGAAGUAGGUUGCUCAAAUUGAGUACCACAAACUCGUUAGGAGAAUGUAAAAACAUCAUAUAUGGAUAUUGGUUGUUUGAACAACAUUUUGAGGCAAACAAAUUUGCACAAUGUGCAAUCAAUUAAAAAAUUUUCAGCAUCGAAUCAAGCAUUGUCAUGACCGAGUAACAAUUGAAGUAAACAAAAGCAACAAACAGUUGACAAAAAUCAGACACUGAACCAGUCUCACCAUUGUAUCUCCGAUUCCGAGGCUCAAAAUUCCAGCAAAAGGGGCAAGAGGUCGAUCAUUAAAGCCAGAAGACAACCAAAUUGGAAGAGCACAGCCCAACAAUAGCGAAAAAUGGCUGAAGGGAACAAUGAAAACAUGAUUGAAACUUCAGAAGAAUUAUUUGCAACACAGCUUGCAAACGUAGGAAUCGUUUCAAAAAUAAAACCUGAUAACAAGAAUCUCUGAGUCACGGUGAUCCGUAAAAGCAUUCAUGAAUUGAUGCACAAGUUGUCCUAGAGGCCAAAUUCUCCAUACCUGCCUAGAGAGAAUGGUUAAUCGCAGACAUAGAAAGAAGUUAUCCAAUAAUGGAAAACCACAAAAGUCUAGCAUGUUAAAAGCUGGAGCAUUGCGGAAACCAUUGAGAAUUUUAUUGUCAGGGGAAAAAGGCUCAAAAUAAGUAAGACCCCUGAUCAAGAUUAAAUGUCAGAUAAAACUCCAAGCAAGCCACGCAAUUUCAAUAACUUUUUCUUGAGCCCUCAAACUUUGAUUUGUUUCAGUUAAGCAUUGUGUCUUUCAGCAUUUUCAAUUCUUUAUAAUCUAAGGCAAUGACUUAUUAUGACUGGAAAAACAAAGGCAUAAAAUGACACUUAUUGAGAGAAGUUUGAAGAAAAGUGAAACAUACUUUAGCAUACUCAGAGAACUAAAAUGAAAAGUAAUCAUAAACUAACUGUAGUCCGAAAGCAGUGGAAGAAUAUUUUAUUUAAUCAUUCUAACACAAUUUCCAAAGUCUAAAGCAGAAAGACUGCAUGUUCUGGUAUUCACCAUAUUAAUUGUUAAUAAUUCUGAACUACUACAAGUGAUCAUUGAGCAUCAAAAAUUCGCACCAAGGUGUUACUGGUAACAGUCACCAUUUCUUGUUCAAAGAAGAAUUUAGAAGCAAACAUGUAGUUUCAAAGUGGAACUUACUCGUAUGAUUUCCAAUAUCAAGAAAACUGCCAAAGCUGCACCGAAUGCCAGGUCAAGAAACUCCGGCUGCAUGUCAUUAUAUGGUCAACACAAAUUUCAAUAUAAUCUUGAUAUGAUGAAAGAUCACUUGAAAAUACAAGUAUACCUUGUUGUUUUGAUCUCACCUGAAGUAUAAGAGCAGGCAAAGAUAACAACUGCCAUCAGAUGGUAGUAUUUCCGAAGAAGAAUCCUCUCUGUCUUACUAUUCUUUGAUAUAUAUAAAACCGUGUAACUGAUGCAUAUAUUAGAGCUAUCCAAUAGGUACAUAAUGACAGUGUCUUAAGUGGUUCUGAGAAUACAAAGUCAAGCACCCUAGCAUGAAUCAGAAUAAGCAAAGUCAACAUGUUAAACUCAGAUGCGAAAGUACACUUACAACACAACAAUAAUACUAAGAUAAACAAAUAUUAUCUGUCAGAGUCCAUUAUGAAGCUUUGUCUCAAAUAAUAGGUAUAUUCCUCCGUAUGUCCAUGUAUCAAGGAGUAACAAAUUACAUAUUACACUCACAUUUCAAGAGUGAGGCCAUUAAUGAGUCUCAUUUCCAGUUUUACUGAUAAACUAAUGAGAUUAGUAUUACCAGUCACAAAGCGAAUGAAUUUCAAGUAUUACCAGUCAAUUUGCUUUCAUGGUUAGUGAACAUCCAAGUUAUUGAUUUAAAACACCACCAAUGGAAUCCUUAACUUUCCUUGAUCAAGUUCACUUGUAUUGCCUGAUCAAGUCGUAAUUUGUACUUCAAAGGCUUUUUCAGAUUUCAGGUUCACCCAACCAGGGGAAAGUAACUACAUGCUACUCAAUUUAUAACUUUCUGAAUAAAUAUGUUUCUUCAAAUACAUUAUGCAAUGUACUAACACACAAUAUCUAAUGCAUUUCCAUGACUAACUGGCAGUAUUCAGUUACUAAAGAUAAAGCUCCCUAUUUUCUGAAAAAGAUAUGAUGCACACAAUCAUCACACACCUUCUACUUAAAUUUCCUUCCCUUAAGUGCACGAAUAGAGAUGCAAAAAUGGAACAGCCACCAAGGUAGUGGCUCUUUCAUCAAAGUUAAACUUUAAGUCUAUCCAACUCUCAUAGAAAUUCCUCCAGCUAACAAAUUUCUGAUCUACUAAACUGAAAUGCACUAGAGGAAUGGGAGAGAUGGCAGAGGCUUAAUUGGAAAAUAAGUGGGCAAUUUAAACACCCAUCCCUAUAGAAGACAAUCUGAUGACCAUUUACCAGGAAACUAGCUCCACAGGAACAACCCAAAAAUUACCUAUCUGCCUCCGUAAUAAGUGAUGAAGAAAAAACUAAACUACCAAUAUGACAUGGAAACAAGUUGCAGAAGGUAGUACCAGAACAAAGGAUGCAUGUGAAAAUCGUGAACAAACUGCAUCCAUAAAGGAAUAACCACAAUCAACAGAAAUGCAAGGGAAGCAUAAAAGAUGAAGGACUUCUUCAUCUCAUGGUUUGCUCUCUCCCUAGAAAUGUCCACAAACUUGAAAUGUCCAGAGAUUUGAAAAAUCAGUUUCAAAAACAGAGGAAAGAGGAGGAGGCCAACUGUCAUGCCCUGCAUCAGAUACAAAAGUUCUCACCACAAGGUAAAUAUCAUUUAUAAUGCAUAUCUCUGCUCCAAAGGAAAGAGUAUUUUGGCAGUACUUUACCUGAAUAAUGGUACUUAUCUCACUUCUUUUGACAACAUAUUGCACAGGAAGAUAUCCUAAGGAUGUCCAAUACCCAAAAAUCUGUUCAGUCAGAGAAUUGCUUCUUGUAAGCAAAAAUAAGGAAAUGAAGAAAAUAAAGUUAUAUAAUCUGGCUAUUUUUGAGAAGCAAAAAAAUCAAACUUACCUUUGCAACAGUGUUUUGAAGCAUGUCUCCGAAAUAGAUAACAAGGCCAGAAGUAACCAAAAGUGCUUCUCCUAAAUAUAGAGAUAAUAAUCCCACCACUCAGAAGAUCAGGCAAUCAAGCAUAUUAGAAAAUACAGAAUUAUAGCAUCCAAUUCAAUUCAAAGUUGUUAAACGAGUACCUUCUGAAAACAAAUUAGAUUAAGCGCAGACAAUGUUGCUAAAGAACAGCAAGAAUAUCCUAUAAUUAAGAACACCUAUCAUUCUCGAACAGUGUAUCGGAUUAAUACUGAAACUCAUUUCUGUAUUGUAAGCGAAUUAGACACCAACAAUAUAGAGACAACUACCAAGUUGAAACACAAAGAAACUUGAUAUUUGUGCCAUUACUAGCAUUUUAAAUGGUGAUUAUAGUUUUCCUAAAGGUAAGGCUAGUAAACACUUUUAUUGAAGGUGAAAAAAUAUAGAUUACAUGUUUAUAGCUGGUUGUGCAGUUCAUCAUCUAAACGUCAAAGAUAGCUUUUUAUAUCUCACAGAUGACACACAUUCCUGUAAAAUCUUAAAUAACCUAAUGAAUCACAAAAGUAGCAGUAUUAAUACCUAUAUAGUCUUCUCGUUAUUUUUGUUUAUUAAGAAAAGGGCUAUUUUGCACCCUUCAAUUAUACCUGAUUUCCAAUGUGGUCCCUACACUUUAAAGUGGACACUCUAGUUCCUAAAGUAUAAAAUCUUCCCACCUUAGUCCCUGAAGUAUAUAAUUUGUCUGCUCAAGAAUAAAAUCUGUCCCAACUAAAGUAUAAAAAGCAUUAUGCUUUAGAGCUGUAGUUGAAUAAUUUUAUACUUGAGGGUUAAAGUAUCCUGCGGUAAAGAUUAGGGACCAAAGCCGAAUUUGGGUAUAGUUGAAGAGUGCAAGGUGGAAUUAAACAUUAAGAGAAAGGUGCAUCCAAUUAACAAAUCAAUACUUCACAGUAACAUAACCUACCAAUGGAAACGCAAGCUGGAAAUGUUCGAAGAAUUCUCUGAAUUAGUUUUGAUGCCACUAGUCCGUGAAAGACCACCCACAAUAACAUAAAUACCAUCUGCCACCCUGUGUAGAUAACGCAGGGCGAGGGAAGGAGCGCCACCAAGAGAGGAAAACAUAAGAUCAACAGAAACAAAGUAUCUAUCAGCAUGGAUUUUUAUCACUUAAAUCAGGAUAAUCCAAGCUAAAGAAUGUAUACAGUUCUUCCAGCACCCUAAACUUCAUAAGACAUUCUCAAAGACCUAUCAGCACCUACCAAACUGAUACUUAGCUGAGAAGGCAAUGCAGCAGAUUCCUGCACACAAGGCUAUGCAGCUUAAGCUAAACUUUUAUUCCAAUUACUGCAACUAUCAACAGAAGGAACACCAUUGUCUUGUCUCUGAAGAAUAACAUGCGAAGCAAACUAGCACACUGAAGCAACUGGCAAAGGUAGCCCAGUAUUGCAAUUGUAGAUUUUCAAGCUCUGUAUAAGGUAGAAGUAAAAACCAGUUAAUCACGUUAUAGGUCUUCUAUGCUAAUGCAAAAGACAAAGUAUACAAAUAAUGUGGCAAAAUGAUUCUGUGAUUCUUGUUCAUUGUGGUAGUUUCUGUUUUAAUACCUUGCAUCCUGAGAAAUUCAAAUCCACCGAAUUCAUACAUCAGUUUUGCAAUAUUACUGGAAAGAAAUUAUCCUGAGACUCAAUGUGAUGGUUUCAAUUUCUUGUCAAAUAAAUGCUAAUCCUCCUAAUGUUACUGUACUCAUUUUUUUCUUAGUAUAAUCCUAUUCUUGCCCCAAAUUAUGGAUAAUCACAAAGUACAAUGUGAAUGCUGGUGUUUCUUCAGCUAUCUAACUAAGAUUGAGUUUUAACUUUGUGCUUCAAAGACAACCCUAAACAUAACAAAGCUAGGCUGACCUGUUUUCUACAAUCCUAAGGUUGCAAGCUUUAAGUUUCUUUAAGCGAUAUAUAACAAGAAAUAGAUAAUGCUAAAGCCAAGAAACUUCUAAAAGCUAAUAAAGACCAUCCAAAUUUACCCUACUAUUAUAAAAGUCUUCCCUGAUCCAAAGUCAAAAUAAGUAAGAUCAGGUAAUAAGGGCAAUAUACAGAGAUAAGAAGAUGGGAAAUUGCACCCAUAAAGAACAACAGUUUCUUGAAAAUUCGUCUGUGGAAAUCACUUAUUUGCUUUUCAAAAUGUAGACAAGCUUAGAAAGUAGCUAGCAAAGUUGACACUACACAGGAUUUUUCCAAUGGUCCGGCGAUUGACCAUUUUGUUACUCAAAUUUCCAUAUCUGGUUCCUAAUCCAAAUUCGUUCAUCUUUAACAUAUCAAAAUUUUAAUUUAUUCCAGAAACGUCACAAAGCUUAGGUCUUGUGUAUGCAACAUUAUAGUAUACCUGCAACUCCAACCUCAUUUAAAGAUAACCCUCUCAGCAUUUGUAUCAACCUUGACAGCAUUAAUCCGGAAGUGUCACUGCCCCCAGCAGUAUCCCAGACGAUACACCUGGCCUACACAACAAUCAAUUUCACCCAAACCAAUAAAUGCAAUGCAAAAUCACCUCUAAAGUCGAACUUGACUAUUAAAAAAAUGUGGAUUACAAUUUAUUUCACAAUUACAAAAUUCUGGAGCUUCAAGAUUCUGAAGUAAGCCCCCCUAUUUCAGCUAACAAUUGUUAGAAAAAACACAGAAAUGGAAUAAUCUAACAGUUAAAUAUUGCAGAAUCCAGUUAAAACCCUAAUUCCGCAAUUUCUGCCAUUUGUGAAUGGAUUGACGCAUAAAAUACCUGGUUUUGAAGAACCGAGAAAAGGGAUCACGAUCAUGAUCAUGAUCGGCGGAGAUUUCCAGGGAUAGGGCAAAAAGAGAAAGAAUACCCAGAGCAAUGGAUUCAGCUAGGAGAGAAAUGGGCGCGGCGUAGAGGAUCCUAGCUAUGUAAAGCACCAACACCCCUCUUUCGCCGUUCAUCCACUGCAAAGCCGCCGGCACCGCCAUUCCUCCCAGCUCCUCCUCCAGGCCAAUGUUUCUUUUUUCCGGCUGAAGGUGGGAAAUUCCGUUUACUGGGAAGUUUUUUUUUUGGAAGAAUUCUGGGAAGAAAUUUAAAAACCGCGUUUUUAAGGUGAAACAAAUGGACCAGUAGACGAUGGGGACUUGGCGCGCACCAGGUUUAUCCAUGCCGUUGCCGUUAACAGUACGUUAAGGUUGGCCCACCGUUUUGGUUGGUUCCUUUCCCAAUGCAGUCAAUGAUUUCGGAAUAUUCCGAAUCAGGCUUCUGCUUCUACGAGCAAUUUACAUUUAGAACAAUAAAUACUCUAAUAAAAACACUACAACAAUAAUAUGUAAAAAUUAAAAAAAAUUAAGCACAAAUUUCAAUGAAUGAGAAAAUUUAUUGUAUUUUUAUAUAUUGCUACACUAAUGCGCACAUUUAUACUUGUUCUAGUAGUGUACUAGUGUCCAUACUGAACUAUAUAAUGUGGUAAUCUUGAUCCAAUGACCUUGAUUGGAGCUGCUCGAGUAGAAUUAGAUUGAAAUAGCUUAACAAGGUGAGUACAUGUUUUAAACAUAAGUGUAUAAUUUAUGAGAAUUAGAUGAAUACAUACAUAAUUUUAGGAAAAACCUAAACUCUUCAAUUAGUCUAUAUUUGUAAAUGGAUAAUAUUAAAAAAAAAAGUAGGAUCCCACUAUUUGUUAUCUUAUUUUUAUUCUCUUUUAUCUGGUAAAUUUCACGACUCUAAUAUUUUGUAAAGCAAUAUCACAACCUUGCGUCGCAUUGUUUGUUUGGAUUACCAUUUUUCUCUAAUUUUUUUUUCAUUUUUCGUGAAUAUAUUUUUUAAUGACCUUUAUAUAUCAUAUAUAUCAAAUCGCUAUAGUACAUAUUUCUAUAAAAACUCUAGAAAAUAGCAAUUGAAACGGACUAAAUAUCUAUAAAUAUAAGAUCAUAUGCUAAUUCUGCAUUGACCUGAUUUCCACCUCUAGAUUAAAAAGGGUGCACCACUGCACACCCUUUAAAUUUAAUGGAAAUCAUAUAUUAGUAACAAUUAAUAGAAGGCAAAGUUUCAAUCUUGACAUCCCACCCUAUAAAGGGCUUUAAAACCUUUUUUGCGGUGCCUAAUGUCUAUGACUUUGCAACCUAUAUAUCAAUCAACGAUGUGAUUAUUAUUAGCAAAGGGAAGGCAAAGAAAAGAUGUUAUUAUUGUUACCCAUGAAAUGCCAAUCUUGGUUGUAUUCGCUGUGUAGUUAGGCCUGUUCUCUUCAAUGUGCCUCACCACAAUUGAGCGGAUUAGCAUCUUAAUUGGCGCCCCAAUCGGGGUUUCUUAUUCUGCGUACAAUUUCGAGUAUUCAAGAAAAUAUGAAAGAGGGAAUGGUGUCAAUGAAUUCAAGAGAUCCACAGACCAUGCCAAAUGGAAUUCUAAGUCAUUUCACCAAUUCUAUGAAUAAGAUGCAAAGGGAAGAGAAUUUCUCAAGAUCAAAUGUAUUACAUUGGCUACUUGUUUAAUUAACCAGCCUCACCUGGCAACCUGAAUGCUUGUACAAUAUUCGCUCACUCCAUUUUCGCCCCUUCAAUUGCUUGUAAAAUAUUCAAUUUGUUCCAUUCCAUAAUAACGUUAAUGUCAAACCAAAUUAGGUUCCAAAAUCUUUUUGAAACACUAAUCAACUCUCAUUCCUUCACGUAUAUAAUUUUCUGGUGGGUUUGAACGAAAAGAAAAGUAAUCAAACAGUCGGGAAUUUUAACUUUUAUAUAAAUUGAGCUAAUUAAAGCCCGACUUUGCAGCAAUAUGGUAUGUGCUUUCACUGAACUAAGCCAAGAACCUUGAUUUGCUUGAGCAUUUGCCUAUUCGCGCAUAGGACACCAUUCUUUGUCAACACCAAUUGUGUGGAAUAAAUUUUUACAAUGAUUGAGAAUGUAUUGGAUUAGUGGCUAAACUUGAGAAUUGAGGAUUUACAGUUUGGUCUCAAAUGCCCCCUUCUCCCUUUCUGUUCUUUAAAUUCCAUCAUUCCUCUACUAAAAUAAUUUUAAAAAAUUAACAAUGGCGUAAGUACCAAAUUAACAUGCUCAAAUGAUUUUGACUUGGCUCAACUGCUUAGAAUUGUUUCUGAAUAAAAAUAUCAGGGGGCCUAUGAUGUCCGUUGACGUUGAAUAAAAAAGCGUUUUCGUCUCAAAUCCUCAAUGGUCUGCCAUGGCUGAAGUUUCGAUCAACUUUCAUAUAUGGUACAUUGCAUUAUUCCACAAAGAGAUCUUCACACAUGAAGCAGCUUUUCUAUAGUUGGCAAUAUAUAUGAGUCCCUCCUCCGGAAAGAAGGCUUCUUCGGUCAUACCAAUCUUGAUUAUGUCCAUAGACUCGAUUUAGUAUAUUUAGUAUGAGAUUUUCUAACCCUAUAACUUCUACGUAAAAAGCAAGUACACCCUAAACAUCCUCGCUAACUCUCUUCCAUACUCUUUCUUCUUCCUUUUUCUUCCUCACAGACAAUUGAUCAAGCUCAAAAAAAUGGCAAUUUCUCCCCAAAGGCCUCAUGCAAUCUUGGUUAGUUAUCCUCUACAAGGCCAUGUAAUCCCAUCGGUCCAUUUGGCCAUCAAGCUUGCUUCAAGAGGUUUCACCAUCACCUUCCUCAACACUCAAUCCAUACAUAACAACAUUACAUCAGGAGAUAAACCAUUAAUGGCCAAGGAGAUAUCUUUGCUGAAGUACGAAAAUCGGGACUCGAUAUUCGUUACACCACCGUGCCGACGGCCUUCUCUAGGAUUCGAUAGGUCACUCAAUCAUGACCAGUUCAUGGCUGCUUUGUUGCAUGUCUUCUCAGCUCAUGUUGAAGAGGAAGUUCAAAAGAUUGUCAAGUCUGGACCUCCUGUUAGUUAUUUGAUCGCUGAUACGUUCUUUGUAUGGCCUGGCAUGUUGGCUAAGAAAUAUGGACUUGUAUACAUUUCUCUUUGGACAGAGGCGGCUUUAGUUUUUUCAUUGUAUUAUCAUUUGGAUCUUUUGAGGCUCAAUGGCCACUUUGGUUGCAUAGGUACGUAAAUUUUCCUGUCAUCUGGAUCUUUUUGGGAUCUACAAACUACCAAGAUUUAAAGAGAAAGAAAGAAAAAAAUUACCAACUUCACCAUGUCAGAUAAAUGAAAACAAAAUAAUAUUCUGAACAAAGUCAAACUUUUUUUUUGGCCUGAUCACACUUUGAUACUCCUCCAGUGACUGACUUAUAAGAAUAUAGCGGGAAUUCAAUUUAUUUAUAGCCACUUGUUGAUGGUUGAAUAUUUGUUUUGUCUUUUUUUUUCCUACUAGACAUGCGUGAAGACCCCAUUGACUACAUUCCUGGUGUAAAACCAUUAGAACCCCUGGAUAUGCCAUCAUAUCUCCAAGAAAUGUACCCAUCAUCAGUAUGCCACAAAAUUAUCUAUAAGGCAUUCAAGGAUGCACAAGAUGCAGAUUUUGUACUAUGUAACACAGUAGAAGAACUCGAGCCCGAGACCAUAUCUGCUCUACAGGAGAAACUUCCAAUUUUUCCAGUCGGACCCCUAUUUCCAUCAGGGUUCACCAAGAGUUGUGUGGCCACGAGCCUGUGGUCCGAGUCAGACUGCUCCCAUUGGCUAGACACCAAACCUCCUGGCUCAGUUUUGUAUGUUUCAUUCGGUAGCUAUGCUCACGUCCAAAAAAGGGAUUUGUUGGAAAUAGCAAAUGGUAUACAAGAAAGCAAUAUUAGUUUUGUUUGGGUGCUUCGACCUGAUAUUGUUAGCUCUGAGGAUCGUAAUCCGUUGCCUGAUGGAUUCAGAGCUGCGACCAGUGACCGGGGGAUGGUCAUACCUUGGUGUUGUCAAAUAAAUGUGUUAAGGCACCCUGCAAUUGGAGGGUUCUUGACUCAUUGUGGUUGGAAUUCAAUUUUGGAAAGCAUUUGGUGUGAAGUUCCAUUAUUAUGUUUUCCUUUGUAUACUGACCAGUUUACUAAUCGGAAACUAGUGGUGGAUGAUUGGAAGAUUGGAGCUAAUCUUUAUGAUAGAGUAUCUGUUACUCAGGUUGAAGUUUCGCAGAAGAUCAACCGUUUGAUGAGUAAGAAAUCAGGGGAUGAGUUCAGAAAUGCAAUCAAGGUAGUGAAAAAGACAUUAGAAAAGGCAUUAAAAGAAGAUGGAUCGUCAGAGAAAAAUAUGGACCGAUUUAUCAGAGAUUUGAAGAUCACUCUUGAGAAGAAAAACCAAACGCAGAAGGUUGUUAAUUAGUUCCUGAGUGUUUUUAAGUAGUUUAAAAAUAUAAACUAGGUAUUCUUGAUAGUUCGUACUUCCAUACUGCAGGUUGUAUGAUAUUUUUCAAUUCAUGAAAAAAAUAACGCACACGUUCUAUUGCCUGGGAUUAUGUUGUCCGUGUAUCUAUAUACCUGUAACAAAUUAAUGCUCAAUCAAUAUUCAAUGAAAAUGAAAGCUCAAUCAACAUAGUUUUUUUUUUUUGGUCAAAAACGGCAACACAAUCAACAUAGUUAUUAGCCAAAACAUUCAUCUCGGACAUUCCAAAUAUAGAAAAUUGUUGUAUACUUCAUUGUUUAUAGUCGAAUAGAUGUAGGGGUGCCAAAGCUAAGUCAAGUUUGAGUAGCACCAUGCUCAAACUCGAACUCGAUCACUAUUAAUGUUAUUCGAUCUCGAUCUUAAGUUUGAACGAGUAUUUAAAUUUGAGCUCAAACUCGACUCAACAUAAUAGAGAUUAAACUCGAACUCGGCUCAUUUGAGCUCGAAUAAACUGUUGAUUGACAAAUUCUUACAAGCACAUAAGGUCAAUCGUAAUAAUAAUUUACCUGAAGUGUUCCAGAGUCGAACCCACAAGGACGAGUUAAUUUUCUACUUUAAUUAUUCUAACAAAAUAACAAAAUUCAAAUUUAAUGAGUGUAUUUUUUAACUAAGCAAUAAAAGAAACGAUCAAUUUAAAUAAAGUAGUGAAAAAACAAUAGAUGUAAGUCUAGGAUUUGAGAUUUUAAUCCAAAAUUUGAGUUAUUAUCUAGUUAAUUUCUUUCCAAAUUAGGAACGCUCAUCAUACGACUAUAUUUUAGACCACUUCUCAAAGCAUCUAAAGUGUGUUUAAUUAAACCCUACGUUUCUCUCGAUAGUCAUAAGAAUUUAAUUAAACCCAUUAAGAUUCUCAGUGAUAUAGGUGCGUCACACAUACCCUAACCUACUAUCGUGAUUAGUCUAUAUGUGUUUAUUUAUCUAGUACACAGUUGUAUCUUUUCUCAAUUUGACAUACACCCAACAUUCUUGUUUAUGGUGAUCAGGCAUAAACAAACAUUAAGAACAAGAUAAAUAAAUCAUAGUAAAGAGCAAGGAAUUAAACUAAGAAAAUGAAUCAAGUUCUUUCAUAAAAACCCUAACCCUAAAAACAAUUUAGUUCAAUAUGAUUUAGAAAUUAAAACUACGAAUUCAAAGAGUUGAUACAAAGAUAAGAGAAAAAGUAAGAAAACUUCUCAGUUGCUUGUUCCAAUCUUCUCCUUGCGCGCUCCUUGAUUAGCCUCUUUGAUCUUGAUCUCUCAAGAAUAAACUAUGAAAAGAUGUUAAAACUAGGCUAGGCUAAUGCUUUCCACCCUUAAAAACGACCUAAAGAACCCCUAUUUAUAGUUUCUUGAAAAUAUAUUCUAAACAAAGUAGGAAUAGACUCUAUUGGACUAGAAAAAUCAGUUUUUUGAACAUUUAUUCAAUGAAAACCGGCCCAAUGAUGGGCCCAAUAUCCGCGCUGGUCAUUGGGUUGAGCCAAAGGAUGUGGAGGUGUCUGGCGCGAAACAUGGAUCCAUUGGCGGAUUGGUACGGAUCCGCACAUGGAUCCUCUUUGAAGUCUCAAAACUCCAACACUGCAAUAAUCAAGUCAUUUGGAGGUUUGGAUGUUAAGAUAUGCCUAAAAUACUGAGACCUAGUUGUAAGAGCAUCAUAGUGCAACUAUAUUUCAGUAUUUAGAUUUUUAACUAUAAAAAUGUGAGAACCAAACUUUGAAGUCCCCGUAAAGGUUAUAGAGAAUUCUCUUAGCUUCAAAUUGAAUUAAGAAUCAUCUUAAUCAGAUUUAUGUAGCUCAAGUUAUCACCAAAUUACUAAAACAUAUCAAUUGUGCAAAAUCCGUUACUCCUGACUUUUUCCUCUCCAUUGCUUCUUCACAUCACGUUUUUAGUCCGUUUUCUCUCUAAUUGAGUUUUCACCUAUUAGAACACUAUAAAAGUAAAUUAAGUAGUUUCUAUUCAACAUAAAGUUCAAACAACAUGGUUAUCUAGCAACUUAUGCAUGUAAAUGUACUACAAUUUACAUCUUACAUCCUAUCAACUGCAAACCUUAUCAAGUUCAAGGUCGAGUUUUUCUUUUCUUGUUUUUAAUUUUUUUACAUUUUAGAUUUAUUAGAAUCAUUUGCCAUCCAUCAUUUUUUUACUAAGCAUUAUUUCAUGUAAAUUUAUUAAAAUAUGAACUCAUAAUAAUCAUUCCAUAAUUAUAAUAUAUACUAUAUAAAUAAUAUAAUACUCGAUUAAUCUCGUCAAAUAUUUGAAUAGUUAUUAUUGAUACUCAAGCUCGACUCAUUACACAGAACCAGUAGCUUAAACUUGAGCUCGAACUCGAUCAAUCAAUCUUUUGACCAUGGCUUGACUAGCCCACAUCCCUAUAUUGGCGUAUCGAAACUUACAAAAAAAAAAAAAGAAUUAAGUGUCUCGAAAGAUGAACCAUGUAUUGGAGUUUGGAAUAUUCGGCAUGGAUAAGAACAAGAACGAAACAAAAAUAAACUAAUGUCUAGGAAAGAGAAAUCCGUCAGUGUCAUCUGCAUUCUCCACUCAAUUUGAUUUACGUGAUAAGCUUCUCCUGCAAUUUGAUAAAUUAGACAUCUCUUUACGUUAUUGAACACAUUUUGUCUCAUCUUUGGCCUCCCUUCAACCUCCGUUUGCAACUCUACAACUCAAUCUAGCUCAUUCACAAAAAAAGGUUCAUUGUUAAGAAAAGAUUUAAAAAUGGAUUGUAUACAACAGAAGCCUCAUGCCAUCUUAGUAUGCUUUCCACUACAAGGCCAUCUUAAUCCUGCAGUCCAGUUAGCGAUCAAGCUAGCAUCAAAAGGUUUCACCAUAACCUUCAUCAACACUCAAUCCAUACAUCACCAAAUCACCUCCAACACUCAAAAGGACAGCGAUGAAGACAUCUUUUCUGAUGCAAGGAAAUCAGGACUUGAUAUUCAUUACACCACCGUGUCCGAUGGUCUUCCUCUAGAGUUUGAUAGGUCACUCAACCAUGAUCAGUUCAUGGCUGCAAUGUUCCAUGUCUUCUCUGCUCACAUAGACGAAGCUGUUCAAAGACUUAUGGAAUCAGGACCUCCAGUGAGUUGCGUGAUUGCUGAUUCAUUCCUUGUGCAGCUUGGGCGUGUUGCAAAGAAACAUGGACUUCUGUAUGCUUCUUUCUGGACACAACCAGCUACAGUUUUCACCAUUUACUAUCAUCUGGAUCUUUUGAGAUUAAAUGGUCACUUCGAUUGCAUUGGUAGUCUCUCUCCCCUCUCCCUAUAAGCGUAUUAUUACCUGAGCAAAAUUCAAUCGCAUCAAAAAGUAUAUUCCGCUAAGACUUAAGCUUUCUUGUGAUCAGACAGGCGCGAGGAUGCAAUAGACUACAUACCAGGGGUUCAAUCCAUUGAGCCUAAGGAUUUGACGUCAUAUCUUCAAGAAGAGGAGACAAACACAAUCUGUCAUCAGAUCACUUUCAAGGCAAUCCACGAUGCAAAGAAAGCAGAUUUUGUGUUAAGCAACAAUAUACACGAACUAGAACUCCAAGCCAUGACAGAUCUCCGGAAAAAAGUGCCUUUUUACGCUAUAGGACCCCUAUUGGAAUUCACCAAAUGCCGUGUGGCAGUGGCCACAAGCCUUUGGUCCAAGUCUGACUGCACUCAGUGGCUCGAUACCAAGCCUACUGGCUCAGUUUUGUACAUUUCCUUUGGAAGCUAUGCUCAUGUUACAAAGAAUGAACUACAGGAGAUAGCUGACGGUGUUAAACUAAGCCAAGUAACUUUUGUUUGGGUGCUUCGUCCUGAUAUUGUAAGCUCUAAUGAUUCUGAUCCAUUGCCUAAAGGGUUCAGGGAAGAAACUGGCGACCGUGGGAUGAUCAUACCCUGGUGCUUCCAGAACCAAGUUUUGAGUCACCCUGCAAUUGGGGGAUUCUUCACUCAGUGUGGUUGGAGCUCAAUUUUGGAAAGCAUUUGGUAUGCAGUACCUUUAAUGUUUUCCACUCAUCGCUGAUCAACCCACUAAUCGCAAACUAGUGGUUGAUUGGAAGAUUGGAAUCAAUCUUUGCGACAAAAGCCAGAUCACUAAGCUUGAAGUAUCAGAGAAGAUUAACAUUCUUAUCAAAUCAGGCAACCAUGAGCUCAAAAACAUAAUCAAGGAACUAAGAAAGGACAAUGGAACACGCUGUGUCAAGAGAAGGAUCAUCGGAAAGAAACAUGGAUCAGUUCAUCAAUGAUUUUCAUCAAGCUAUUC
RNAcentral lists this long non-coding RNA (74313 nucleotides) under Coffea arabica (coffee). RNAcentral's name for it is "long non-coding RNA (CARA_LNC000313)". The record is from RNAcentral. Lineage: Eukaryota; Viridiplantae; Streptophyta; Magnoliopsida; Gentianales; Rubiaceae.